GUGUUUUUUUGUAAUUAAGCAUGACUUCAACUAUUUCAAUGUUUAAUUUUUAUAUUUUACAAUUUGAGUAGCUUAACCCAUGCCAUGCAAGACACUAUGUCUUGGAGAGGAUGGAUUUUGAAGACCAUGAAAAUUUCGAAACAAAGAAAAUUCACCUAAGGACCCAUCAUGGUAUGGAUUUUGAAGUAAAUCUGUACAAUUCUGAGAGCGUAACCCAUUUUGGUUGCAAAAAUUGGGAAGCACUUUGCAAGAUGUAUGAUUUUUAUGAGGGUAUGCUUGUCACCAUGGAUCUUGGUGAUCCUGACAUCGACCAAGACAAUAUGGACAUUUGGGUCGUUAUUGAUACACUUCCAAUUCUACCGCUAUGUGAGUUUCUCAAACAUAGUUAUUAACUAAUUUAUAUUAUUUAUUUCAAAAUAGUUGAUAACUUAUUUCCAUUGAUAGCUUAUUUUCAUUCUUCAAACAAUGUGCGGAAGAUGGUAGACAGAAACUACUACAUCGAUGGCUCUGAGUUAACUUAUCAGGAGAAAAAUCAUCUGAUCGCAUUUUGUACUAAUCUUGAGAAUUGCAAUACCUAUUAUCAAACUCCUCCACAUUAUGGUGAAUACGUGCCACUAGUGCACGUGUUGAACCACGCUAACAUCCAUGGACAUGCCAUGGUAAGAUUUUUAACUAUUACGACAUCCGUGCAUCUUUUGCAUAAAUUCUUUUAAAACUUAAGUACAUUGCUAACUACGAAGUUAUUACUAUGUUUUUCAACAGAAAAUCCCGUCGGAUUGUGUGCCUCAUCUGAUGUAUCAGAAUGGUCGCCUUGAUGUUUUGAACAUACAACCAGGUCAUCCUAUGAGUCACACAUGUGAAUAUCGGAUUUCUAAAAACAGUGAAGACCUGAUAAUCAAAGAAUGGAAAAAAAUGUAUGGUCAGUUGUAGGGAGGUUCUGGGAAGCAAGAUCGUGCGAGAGGCAAGAAUUGAAGACAGGAUAAUCUCCAUUCUCCAUAAUGGAGAGUCAGGGGCUAUAUUGUUUUAUGCUAUUUUACCUAGGAGAAGGUAGUAGGUCCUAGCUAAUACUCAUAAUUAUGUGCUAAGAACAACUAAGUAUGAUUGGUUAGAUGACUAUGAUGAUGAUGUGGUAUCGGUAUAAGUUGUAUGAUCGAUGAUGAUGAGUAUGACUUGUUAUUAUGAUACCAAUGAUGAGUUAUUUAUUAUUAUGAUCGAUGAUGCAUGAUGUUAAGUUGUUAUAUGAGCAUGAUAAGUUAUUAUAUAUAUAUCAGUAGAUGAAAUGAACAUGGAUUAGAUUUAAGUGGAGGCAACAUGUGGCGCACAUCAAAAGUACUACUAAUGCAAACUAGAUCAAGUUUGGAUUAGUAGUACUUUCGACAUGCUCCACAUGUUGCCUCCACUUGAAUCUACUCCACGUUCAUUUCACCCACUGUUAUAUAUAAUAACUAAUCAUGAUCAUAAAAUCAUGUGAUGAAAGUAUUGUAUGUAAAACCACAACGAAAAUAAGCUGUAUUUUUAAAAAUACAGGAAAAGUUAGCAGCAGCGCUUUUUAGAAGAAGCGCUACUGCUACUUAGUACUAUUAGCAGCGCUUUUCAAAAGAAGCACUACUGCUAACUAGGUAUAGUUGUAGCGCCUUAGUGGUAGCGCUGGUACAAGCGCUACUGCUAGCUCAAAAACAAGCGCUAUUACUAGGGUUUUCCCUAGUAGUGAUCGAUGGGUCUGAGGUGUCAGAGUCUUACGUGGCGGUGAUCUGGAUUACCGCAAAGCCCCUCCACCCCCAGUUUGCUUUCGAUUUGCAGAAAAAAGAUGUCCGGACCAGUCAGCGAAUGGAUACAUGACCGCGUUUGAUAGGAACACACGUCUGGACCGCGCGGCCUGGAAGGUUGCGGACAGUUUGAGGGUCUAUGGUUGAGAUGCCCUUACCCCUUGUGGGGCUCCCGCAAGGGUUACUUUCUUGGCAUGCGAGCUCUCAAGUAAUGUGACCAGAACACCGCCCCAUGUUGCGUGAUGGGCGCUCCCUUUGGAUUUCUUUUUUUAAAUACAUGUUUCUGGGUUUUAGAUAUUUUUUGUUUUUUGGCUUUUCGGUUUUUGCUUGGUUUUCUCUAAGUUUUGGAGGAUUUUUUUGGAGGGGCGAGGAGGGUGGUUCUUCUCGAGAAUAGUGCUUUUCUGCAAGAGGCACACCAUGUGCUAAGCACAGUUGUCCUUUCAAAAUAAAGAAAAACACAGUUUGUGCCUCACUAGAAAGCAUAGUUCUGCUUCUUGUGGAGGCACAUAUUUACUUCCACACUCGCGAGUGUUGAGUAUCGUGAUUAUUAGGAAAUCUAGGAUAGAGUAGGAUAUUAUUUUACCUUGCCUUGUACUCCAAAAUGAUUAUGUACUCCUAUAUAUAUGCCCAUCAGACGCAAGCAAUACAACAAACUAUUCCACCAAUUCCUCUCUCUCCCUUCUAACAUGGUAUUAGACUGCGUCAGACUCGUCGGCUGUCUCUGCUCAGGCGUCGCUGCUCCAUUGGUCGCUCGGGCCUCGCUGCCCGGGCGUCGGUGUUGCUUUGGCAUCCCGGGUGUUGGUGCUGACGCGCUCGAGCGCCCGACUUCCCAUGCCGUCCGUCAUCGCUGGCUUCAUCUCAGACUCUGCCUCCACCGAGCGGCAUCCCCGACCUCACGCGCAAUCGGCUUGAUCACCCGCUCGCCACCGUGAUCCGCCCCAUCUACGUCGCACGACCGACCUGGCCAGUCGGUGGUGCGCGCCUCCGCGGGUCCCGUGAAGAUCGUUCCCGAGUUCAGCGCGCCCCUCCACCAAUCGAGCAUUGGGCUGCCAUUGCGUCGCCCCGUCGGGCCGCAGCGCCGCCGCCCCGUGGUUCUUCUCUCGGUUGCACCGACCCGCGUCACCGCUACAUCGCCCCUUCAGGGCGGAGUGCCGCGGCCCGCGGUCCACAGCCGCCCCGAUGUCGUCCGAUCCAGGUCGUCCACGUGGUUGCACCGACCCACGAGCCGCCGCUGCAUCACCUCGUCGGGCCGUAGCGAGCGUGGCAUGCGGUCCAUGCCGCCGUCGCGAGACUGUUCCCGUGGUUGCACCGACCCCGGGUUUCGGCACUUCGCCGCCCCUUCGGGCUGUAGCGCUGCGGCUCGCGGUCCCCGCCGCUGCCCCGAGGUUUUCACGGGCGUCGCCCCCCUGCCCGACGCCACUGCGUCGCCCCUUCGGGCCGUAGCGCCGCGGCCCGCGGUCCACUCCGCCGUCACCACGCGUCGACCUCCCGUGGUAUGCGCCGCGCCGUCUUCCUUGGAGUGGGAACACCACCGUCCGCGCCGGUCUUCGUCACGCGCUGUCAGGGUUCUUCGCCUACUUCGAGCACCGCCGCCGCGCUCCUAAUCUAGCCGCCGCUACCCCCGUAGCCGCCGUCGCUCGUCCACCUCCUUCGUCUUCAUCCAGCACUAGCCCAUCGCCGUCAUCUACCUCGACCACUUCGUCUACUCUGAUAACCGCGGGCGACAUCGGCCCCGCACCUAUUGGCGCCGCAACCGUCAUCGAGUUCGUCUCUGCUAGCCUCUCCGACUUCUUUGACAUGGCGUACAGCUCGUGUAGGUCCCCUUCUACGCAUGCCCGGUGCUGGCAACACCGAUGCAUGCCUUCGUCCAUGAUGUGUCCCCGGGCCUGGCAAGCCUGGAUCGGCGCUUUGUCAACUUCGUCUUCGUUCGUCUACGCAUGCCCGAUACUGGCAACACCGAUGCGUGCCUUCGUCCACGAUGUGUCCUCGGGCUUGGAAAAACCCCCGCGACGCGUCGUCAACAACGUCUUCUUCUCGGCGCACCACUACUUCGACACCAUUGCGCCCAUGACUAACUCGACGCCUCCUCGCGCCUGCGGCUCCACGGUGACUUCCUCGACACCGGCUACCCCGGCUCGACAUCGACCACGGCAUUAUUCGCACGGUUACCUCGAGCACGGCUCCACCACUUACGCUCUUGGCUACCUCGACAAACGGAACAAAGGGCUACGGCCUUGCUUGAGCAACCUCGUCGGUUUCCACUCCAGCCACGACUUCGCGAUGCAUCGACCGUUACGAUUGUGGGGGAGUGUCCGUCGGGUGCCUUCGGAUUCUUCACCAGUCUCACCAUCUGCGUCGCUACCGUUCUGACUGCAGGGGGAUGUUGAGUAUCGUGAUUAUUAGGAAAGCUAGGAUAGAGUAGGAUAUUAUUCUACCUUGCCUUGUACUUCAAGAUGAUCAUGUACUCCUAUAUAUAUGCUCAUCAGGCUCAAGCAAUACAACGAACUAUUCCACCAAUCCCUCUCUCCCUUCUAACAGCGAGAAGCACAACUUGUGCUUCCACGAUAAGCACAAAUUUACUAAUGAAAGCACAGAUUUAAGUUGUGCUUCUCAAAAAAGGAAAUACACGGAUAAGCUUGAAAGGAAAAGCACACUUAUGUAAGAAAACACAUAUUUGCUUUCGUGGGAAGCUCGACCUAUUUUUUUUUCUUACUCUUUUUGGUUUUUGAUUUUUUUCAUGAAAAAAGUUCAUCGACACCUAUUAGCAUGAGAUCUAGUUUUGAAGAUCUCGACGUGAGAAAUCCAACAAUGAAAAUGGUUCAGUAUUUGGACGCACAGUUCGGGAGAUAAAACAUUUUAAAUAAACGAAUCUACGGAAAAAAACACCAGGUUGCGAGAAGUGACGCACAUGCAGUACCCCACUUGUUGGCACCUGAGAAGGUGGGGAAUGACAUUUGUUAGGGUUACCCCGUAACUAGUGAUUUCGCUAAUACCCAUCCAGCAAAAAAAAAAAAACUCUCCAAAUUCUCUGGUUUCUCAAAGGAAAAUUUUCCUUGAUCUCAAACAAACAAAACACCUAAUUCUCUGGCUUCUCAAAAGAAAAAUCUCCUAAUUGUCUGUGGUAUGUACAUGGCGACCCAAAAUCACAGGGCAUUGAUGAACAGGUAUAUCGUUUCACCAUUUACAAACACAUUAUGGUUAUAUUGGGAGCGCUAUACGAGGGGAAAAGGCGAUAUACAGAAACGAGUUUACGAAUCUUAGCACAGAUCAGCGACCCACAGUCGACGUGGCACAAAUCUUCUCCCAAUACACCAAGGCUGUUUUUGAUCUACCAGGAUUAGUUCAGUGGCCCAUAGGGUGUUUUGCUAUCUUGUGUCUGGUAGCAGGGUUUAGCAAAGGUUCUACUAGUUCUCUUCAUGAGGUAAAGAAAAUUUUUGCAGGCAAAAUAAGCAGACUGGAUGCUACUCCCUCUGUUCUAAAUAUAAGUCUUUAGAUUUCAAUGCGGACCACAUACGGAUGUAUAUAAACGUACUUUAGAGUGUAAACUCACUAAUUUUAGGACUACAUACUUAUAUUUAGGAACGGAAGGAGUAUAAAUCUGACAGGCAUGUUUCUAUUCACACCUGCAGUUCCGAAAGUACCAGUCCAAGUGGAAAAAAAUAGAUUGUAAGCAUGCACUCAGCCUUGUGUACUCCCUCUAUUUCCAACUGCACAAGCUCUCUUACAUCAACCAAACCAUCUCACCUCCAUCAAGUAGCGAAAGAUAAUCUACAUUACAUGAUAGAAUCCACUGUUCUCUCUCCCUGUCACCACACCACACUGCCCGAGCUAACAAAUUACAGACAGCGGAGGGAGAGAAUGCAAGGGCAAAAAUAGAAUCAAAUUGAAUACAAACGGUCAAAACCUCAAACGGAGAAGGAAAAAAAAAUACCAUCCACAAAAAUCUAGAGCAAAACUUCAUAUUUCCAGUGUUGGAAACUAUAUGAACCCAAGUACCGUGGAGUGCUUUCAUAAGGGAACCAAGAAUAAGGUUCUUCAACUUGCAUUCCCUUUUACCAAUCGUACGAUAGUAAUUCAGUGUUGUUCACUUGCGUCUCUUCCGUCGCGAUCAUCCUCGGGCUCCAUUGCCUUUACAGUACUUUUCUCAUGGCCAUCAGACAGCUUCUUGAACACUGCAUUCAUGUCAUCGAUGGUCUUCGCCUCGAUACAACUCAUGUUGCUUUCAGGCUCCCCAUCAUCUCCGGCCAAAUGCAGACUUUCAACAUGUGCUCCUUCUGGAAGACUGUCGUGUCUCGGGCGCUCGACAGCCUCUGCAUAUCCAACUUUAUCUUCGUUUUGUUCAAAGUAAUUGUUCACAUCAACACUAGAGUGUUCCUUUGGAACAGCAGAAAUGUCCUCCACUGAUUUUGCAUCAAUGACAUGCAACUGUCCAGAUCCCUCCAAAGGCUCUGAGUCGAUAUCAACGCCUGAGAUAAGUGCGGUUUCAGCGUCAAGGAUGGGCCCAUCAACCCCACCAGCACUUGCUUGUUUAAAGGCCAUCUCUAUGUCCUCCAGGGACUUGGCAUCAACAGCCAUCAUCUCAGCAUCAGUUUUAGCUGUCCCAAGCUCAUUUUUAGUAACUUCCAGUUCAGUUGCUCCAACUGCUAAGUAUGCUUCUGACAGAGUAUUGACUGAAGGUGUUUCUGUGACUUCUGGCUCGUGGCAUGGUAGGUGUUUCUGUAGACUUUCAACAUGUGUUCCUUCUGGAAGACUGUCGUGUUUCGCGCAUUCUGCAACCUCUCCACAUCCAACUUCAUCUUCGCUUUGUUCGAAGCAAUUGCUCACAUUAACAUUAGAGUGUUCCUUCAAAGCAGCAGAAAUGUCUUCAACAGAUUUUGCAUCAAUCACAUGCAGUUCUUCAGAACCCUCUAAAGGCUCCAAGUCAAUAUCAACGCCUGAGAUGUGUGCGGUUUCAGCCUCAUCAACACCACCACCACUCGCUUGUUUAAAGGCCAUCUCUAUGUCCUCCAGGGACUUGGCAUCAACAGCCAUCAUCUCAGCAUCAGUUUUAGCUGUCCCGGGCUCAUUUUUAGUAACUUCCAGUUCAGUUGUUCCAACCACUAAGUAUGCUUCAGAUGGUGUAUUGACUGAAGGCAUUUCUGUGACUUCUGGUUCGUCGCAUGGUAGAUUCAAGUCUCUGUUCAUUGCUUCAAGAAUCCUUCGCCGUGGAUUGUAGACAGUUUGCUCAGGAUCAUCAUGAGAUGAUCCUAAUGACCAACUGAAUUCAGGAUCAGUGCCGCUUAGAUAAUCAACCAAUGGGGACAGACCGCCAGAGUCUAAUGCACAGGCAUCUGAUGUGGCAGUGUCACCAGAAGUCUUAGGGCUAAUCAAGGAGUCUUCUGCAACACCAUCGGCAGGGUUGUAAGUACGGGAGCUAAGAUCAGGCACCUGCUGAUCCAGUCUCACCGGUUCUAUCCGGAAGUCUCCCACCGCAUCCAGUUCCGACAGGAAACUUUCAUCAAUACCGUUAUCCUCUAAAGGCUCAGGAUAGAUUCUAUCAGCAUCAUCAUCAUCAGAAUCAAGUAGAUAAUCAGAAGUCAUUUCUUCAUUCAUAUCAACCAUAUCCACCCUGUCAGGUUCAGAAGCCACCGAAAAAAAUGGGUUUGAGACAUCUUUAGGUUCAAUCGAUGGAGAUUGGUUGGAACCACUCGCACCAGGAGGACACAAGGAAGCAACCACAGAACUUGGGCUUACUUCCGAUGCAACAUCAAAGUGCUCUUCAAUUACAUGCAAGUCAGUCAUGGCAGUACCAGAACCAGUAAACGCUCCAGUUUCAUGCUUUUCUUCCAUGUUGAAGUUCUCGAGAACCCUCUCCUCAGGGAUAGGGUGAAGGUCCAUAGAUAUUGCUGGUAAUGUUUCCUUUUCAAAAUCAGUUAGCAAGUCCUGAGGCCCAUGAAUAAGGUUUUGUAAUGGGAUUUCAUUGCUUGGACAGGACAUGGAAUCAACAUUUCCAUCUUCCUCGGCAAUACUGGUGGCACCAAGACCAAGGUCCCUUGAUCUCAAUUCAUGAUCUUCAGCUGGCCUAGGAGAAGAAAGCCAUUCUGAGACUUCAGCUGUUAUGUUUGGUGCUAUAGAAGACUUGGCACCCAGGACGCUUUCACCUGGACAAGAGUACAUCCAUUAUAUAAUAAGAAGACAAUACGACCGAAAAAGAGAGAAAAGCUAGAAAUUCCCAUCCACCCGUUAAUUUUGUGGACCUAUUUUAUUAGUGGACUACGACCGACAAACCUUCACAGCGGUACUUCAGAUUACAGCCGAUAGAUCAUCAUGAAUGUAACUAAACAGAACUGAACCGGUAAAUCUUCAUCACCGCGCCUAAAUAGUUCACAACCAAUGGACCAUCACAACUAUACUUAAACAGAUCGCAACCAUGGUCAUCUUAGACAUGUAUUAGAAUUAUUAUGCUAUUUACAAUAAUAACACCAAAAUGGUUGGCGGGCUGUUUGAUCCAAAAUUAAACAAUGGGGUGGAAUCGACUACGGCCGUUCAUGAUCAAUUUAGACACGAUUUUGGAGAAUACCCAUUAGUCGUGAUACUAUAUUUAGUACACUUACAAAAAUCCAUCAGUUGGAUAUAUAUCGACGCUGAUCCGUUCAGGUAAGGAUGUUGAGCGGGAAAUAGUGCUAGUUGUUCAAAUAAAACUCUAUCGUGCGCGGGGUAUUCAUUCAUUUAAGUUGUCAGAUGUAAGUUGCUUACCAUCCCCAUCAUCCCAGCUAAGCAAGUCACCAACUGGAUGAAGUGGCACCGUAGAAUUCCCAUCUGACUUGAGCAUGUAAUUGUCAUCAUGACCCUUCCCUUUUGUUGAGACAAGAUAUGCCUCUCUUUCUUCGGAUCUUUCGAAGACAAAAUGAUGCAGAGCAAUCUCACGCUCAUCAAUGUCACUGUUGUCUAGUUCAACAUCCACGGAGUUGAUACCAUCUGAACAUUCACUGCCAGCAUCUGCAAGGUCACUGUCCUGUCUCAGGAGAGCUGGUGACUCAUGCUCCCUGUGCACAUCCUUUUCAUCGAGGUCCUUGUGUUCCUCCUGAUCGGCAACCGAAGAAGCCAUAUCAGAUUCAGUAACAGAACUCAAUUUGGACUCACUCUUGUCACUGAACUGCCUUUGAAAAGUACUUGUGCUCCCUUCUACUGUCUCAGGGACAAAAUAUGGCCUCAAUCUAGACAAACGUCUCUCCUGCGUAGCAUCUGUAGUUCCAAAGUUGAAGCUCUCGUGCCUUCUAAAUAUUUCACGAUGAGAAGUUUGUGGUGAUUCCCCAGGGCUUAAAUUAUCAUGUGCAGAAACGCCACUUUCACUGGAAUGCUCAAGAAAAUCAAAUGGGUUCUUUCUUGCAUGCAGGAUUGAAGGAGCUGAGCCAGGAAUUGCCGCCUCGUCAGAAUCAUAUGGAAGGUCAAACGGGUUCCUCCUUGUUACUGAGAUGUGUGAUACUUGUGCACCAAAGCGUGAUAAGUCAUCUCCGCUUUUCCCAUUGGCAUCCGUUAGGUUACUGUCAAUGUCAAAUAUUAUAUUCUUCCUGGAUCUUCGCCUAACCAUCAAAAUCUCCAAUCUACGGUUUCUUUCCAUCUCAGAGUAUCCAAGAUCCAUCAGAUUCUUUGCAUCAUCUGCUGUCCAAAUAAAUGCAGCUUCCUGACCUUCAUCUUUCUUGUUCUCCUCACCACCAUCUUUAGUAUCAUUGUUGCCAUCAUCAUCAUCAUCAUUACUAUCAUCAUCCAUUUCAUGAUCCUGCGAGGAGACAUGUGAAUCACUGUCUGAAUCAUCAUUAGGAAUGGGAUCAGGACGAGUGAAAUCAGCACCCAGAAGAGGGUCGAUUUCAUCAAGAACUGGUGCAAUGUCAGUCAUGGAUGCAUCAGGUGAAGAACUCUCAGCCCCAUCAGAGUCAAAACCAGAUGAACCAUCCUGACUGCCAACUGAUGCCCAUGGUGAACCAAGAGAGGAAUCAAGGAGAUUUUCCUCAACGGCCUUGCUAGUAUUAACCUUAAGCACAUCAAGCUUUUUAUUCUGCCGCACAGAAACUGCAUAAGUUGGUCUGCUAGUUCCAGCUGUCCCAUCAGUCAGCUUCUCUUCAGAGAAAUCACUCACUUUGCUAGCUGCUAGAUUCAGAUUCUCCUGCAUUUCAGCAUGCUUAUUAAAAUUCUCACUGGAUGAGAACAUGUCCAAGGGUGCAUUCUUCUCAUCCAGACCUUCAAAUAAGCUAGCGUUCCUAUCAGCCAUAUCUGUCACAAAAAAUGAAUCUGCGAAUUGCAUUCCCUGGUUAAAGUUUAAGCCCUCCCUAAUCCCAGCCUCUCCACGGAAAUUGACCAUGGAAGGAAAUGGAGUUAAUGUUUUAGGUUUGUCGCCAUGUUCAAACCUCUCAUCUUCUUCAUCAACUCUUCUCAGAAGAGGAACCUCAUCAUCAAGCUGAGUAGACCUCUCUCUGACAGAACCUGUCCGCUUUGUUUCCCUUUCUUUGAAGUUUUCUGUAGUAUUCCUAAAACUAGGCACCGAAAUUCUCUGAUCUGACCCAAACUGAACAUCCCUUGAAGAAUUCUCCAUCUUAAAAGCUGGAAUCUCUGGAGUAGUCUUGGUAUCCUCAUCAUUAGCUUCAGGUAGGUUCGUGUCUCCAUAACUCAGUAGGAUUCCCAGAAGAAGAGUGGUACAUAUAAUUACAGGUGAAGAGGAAAGAAGGAACGCAAAGAAUCCCGGGGCAGAUCUGUACAAUAAGUAGAGCAAAACACCCAAACUGAACAGGACUGGAUGUUCAGAGACACAUCUGUAGCUUGUUCUAAUGGAGGACCUCAGAACUUUCUUGAUACACAGACCAACUUGUUUUGUCUCAAGAGCCAUGGCAUGUACCCUCUCAGUCUCCAGCACAAACCUAGCAUUGCAAAAAAUACAGAAAAUAUUCAGUUGGUUCAUCUAGUAAAACAUAGAAUUUUGUAUCACUUGGUGCAUAUAAAAUUAUUUCCAAAAAAAAUCUGUUAUGCUAACUUAACAAAUCAACGCAAGUUAUGGUUUGUUCCUAAUUUUUAAGAGAGCCGAGCUAAUCCGAAUAACCACAGUUCAGUAGACCAACUGCACCAAUUUUUUGCAAUUGAGCCAAAUACAAGAUGGUUAGAUCCAUAGGAGAACUAGCUAGUAAAAUUAGAUCGGGAGUACCCUAGCGCAAACAUAAGGCGAGCUAAUAAGCAACUCUUAUUAAGAAAUUGCCCAGCAAUUGGCAAUUCACAAAUCAAUUUCCUCAACAACAAAGAAAAGGCAAGCCCGUUACCAGGCAGAUCAUCGCUGGUGGGACACUAUCUAGCAUCAAAAGAGCUUCAGAUGCGAAAUCGAUAAGCUAAACCCCGACUAGAGUCUAGAGAAGGUGAGUCAUAGCACGAACAAUGGAAACGCCAUCACCUUUACUGCUUAUCGAGCACAGAUCUUCCCCACGGAGAACUCAAUCCCCGGCCACAACGAACACUAGACAGAGAAUCAAGACACGAGCGUAAGCGAUCCCGUCGGUCAGGGACCCCCAGGGCUCGCUAUCUAUGAGCAACAGCGUACCUCCGAGGAAGCUCUGGCGGGCGGGCGGGCUGGCGGCUACCACGAGGCUCGGGCGGGGAAAGCUCCAAGAAGCGGAAGGAACAAAACAGCCGGAGCUGAACUCCUGUGCUGUGCUGGAACCCAGCGACCCGGCCAAAAGGAGGAAGCCAAUAGCAAGAAGCGAUCGGCCGAGCGCCGGGGUCAAAUCACAGCGGCGUCAGCGCAGAAAUGCAGUGCCGGGCGCCUUCGUCUCCCCGCGGUGGGGCAGCAGCUGAUAGAAGUGCGGGUCGGGAGCUUGGACCGCCGCUUUCGGCGGCGACUUCGCGGUGCAGCGAAGCGGAUUUGGUGGCGGUGGUGGGGGGCGGCGAUGGCGAGGAGAAGGGAAAGAGAGGAGAAAAAAAAAAGAAAGGGGAAAAGGAAGGGGGGCAGUGGCGGAGAAAGCGGAAGGGAGUGGGCGGGCCCGGCCUUUCUGUCUCUCUGUUAAUGCGGCUGUCCCACUUCGUUUGACUGGUAGGUGGGUGCCACGUUGCGUGGGCCCGGGAUGUCAGGGGAGAGGGCGGGCCAUGCCUACGUGGAGGAAGGCGACGGCGGCGAGGAAUUUUCCUUUUCUCUGCUGGGCAGGCUGGCGGGCAGGGUCUGGCUGGUGUCGGACCGGCGGCACCGGCCACGGCGCGGACGAUCAUCCUUUUCGCUGCUGCUGCCGUCAUAUUGUUGCGGGUUGUUUUCGCUGUGGACCACGCGCACGCGCGCAAGAGAGAGAGAGAAGAAGGGUGGAAAUGAUUUGAGCGUAGCUCAUAUUGUUACGGGUUUUUUAUGAGACAAGUAGGAUUCAAGUCUUAGAUUUUGCAUUGGGGUUCACAUUCUAGACUUAUAACACAUGCAGCGACAUGUGCUCUUUACUUUCGUGUUGAAGCCUCGCGUGACCUCCGCGCUCCUGAGCCCGCCGUGUGUCCACCUCAAACCCCGCCGCCUGCCACUCCGGCCGCGGCGGCCACCUCUCCCUCUCCCACGGUAUGGCUUCGGGGUCCCGCUCGUCAUCGGCGUCCGCGCGCCGUGCUGAGGAUCGUCCGGUGGUGUCGGGGUUAGGUCUUUCGUCAUCCUCGGCCUCCUCCGGCCCCCAUGAGCAGGCGGAGGUCUCAUCUCGCCUGCGUGCGGAGGUUGACGCUCGGCGGCAUGAGGCUCCAUGGGUGCAGCCGCCUCCUUCCAAGCGGUCCAAGUGGCGACGCCGCCUUGACCAAGAUCCUCGGCUGCAGCGCCAUCCUUCCCCACCUCAGCCUCGGCGCGAGGUCUCGCCGGAGAUGGCGGGCCUGUGCUUUCGCUGCUUCCAAGACGACCACUUUCGGCGCGACUGCACCAACGAAGAAGUCUGCAUCAGGUGCGGGCGCUCUGGGCAUGGAUCCCGCAACUGCGACCGCCCACGCAACCCGUCGCCGCCGGAGGUGCUGCGCCGCAUCGUUGCGGACCGGGUGGCUCGUCGGGGCGCCGGCGCGGCUUCCGCGCAAGGUUCACGGCCGGCUGGGGUCGCUGGUGCUAGUUCCAGCCGGGAGGGCUCUCUCCAACAACCGCGCCGGGGCAUGGCGCCACCACCGCCGCCGCCCCCCGCUCGUGAUGCGGCCAAUCCUGUGUGGCCCCUGCUCCAGGCGCCGCGGCUCGUUCUUCCGACGGACUCGGAGUUUGAUCCCAGGGAUGUGUGCAUCGUGCGCCGCUCUCACUCCCUGGACGAGAUGGAGAGGCGCCUGCAGCUCUCCAUGGUUGCCUAUGCCGCUGGUGCAAGGAGAGACAUUUCACCGGCGUUCAUCCUCGAGGCCCUGCAGGCCAAGGCGGGCAUCGAGGCACACUGGGUGUCGGUGCAUCGUUACCAUCCGGAGGACUUCCUCAUCGUCUUCGCCCGGCCGGAGUUCAGAAACCGGGUGUCGGCUAUGCCGACGAUCGAUCACUGCGGUGUGCGCCUCGUCUUCCGUCAGUGGAAUAGGCAAGCUCAGGCCACGCAUGCGGUGCUCCGAUUCAAGGUUCUGCUGGAGAUUGAAGGUAUCCCUCCGCAUGCUUGGGAUAGAGAAGUGGUGGAGAGGCUGCUAGAUUCAUCGUGCCUGGUGGAAUCCAUUGCACAGGAGACGGUGACCAGGGAAAAUCUUGCUUCGUUCAAGCUCUCUGCCUGGACGGCAGAGCCGGAGGCGAUCCCCACCCUGCGCUGGUUGGCGGUGCCAGAGCCAGGGCCGCAGCUUCACAUGACAGAGCCGGCUGUUUUGCAUUACAAGGUCCUGAUUCAUCUGGAUGAAGUGACUGACUUUCAGGAGGCAGACGAGCCAUGGUUCCUGGGCGGCUCCUCGGACAGCGGGCAGAGUGGCAUCCCCGACGAGGACAGCAUGGGCGGCGGCGGAGGUCCGACGACGACACGGCGACAGUGGCAGUCAGGUGUGCGGGAUGCCAGAGGUAGUUUGUCGGGAGGGCUUAGUGGAGGCGCUGCCAUGGAUGAAACUCAAAGAGGUGGCCGGAGGGCCGGCGGCCAGGACUGGCGGUUGUCACCCAUGGAGGCGCCGCCGGUGAUUCCUGUGCGAAAGUUCACCGGUGUUCGUGAUAGGAUCUCGGUCAGACCAUCUGCUUUUGACCGGCUGACGAGGAGGGUGGAGGAGGCACAUGAUAAGGAUCCGUUGGAGCGACACAGUGGGGUCACGGAAGAGCUUUUGACCAGGGAAGGAGAUCAAAACUUGAACCAGGACAAAGAGGCGCAGCUACCGAGGAGGAUUCUGGCAUCAAUCAUUACCGUGCCAUCCCCGCCUCGCGACAAAGAUGCGGGCCAGCUGUCUCUGGUGGUCGCAUCAGGUGGGGGCCUGCAGCCUCCCGUGGCUGGUCAGGAGGAGCCUGGCCUCACUCCGGUGGGAACGACGAGGCAGGAGGUCCAGGAUGCGGGGCCACCGGCAUCGGAGCAUGUUGCCGGAUGGACGGGAGUGGAUAAUUACGGGAUAGCCCCAAUCAUUGGGCAUGAGGAGACGCCCUCCCAAGACACGACGGCUGUACCCACGCGAGCUCAGCCGGGUCAGGAGAUGGGAUCGACCGGGGAGACAAUAAUUGCGUCCAGUGGAGACCAGGUGGUGGGUCCGACUGCGGGGGUAAUGAUGUUGAGGAACGUAGUAAUUUCAAAAAAUUUCCUACGCACAUGCAAGAUCAUGGUGAUGCAUAGCAACGAGAGGGGAGAGUGUUCGUCCACGUACUCUCGUAGACCGUAAGCGGAAGCGUUAUGACAACGCGGUUGAUGUAGUCGUACGUCUUCACGAUCCGACCGAUCCAAGCACCGAACGUACGGCACCUCCGAGUUCUGCACACGUUCAGCUCGAUGACGAUCCCCGGGCUCCGAUCCAGCAAAGCUUCGGGGAUGAGUUCCGUCAGCACGACGGCGUGGUGACGAUGAUGAUGUUCUACCGGCGCAGGGCUUCGCCUAAACUCCGCGACGAUAUGACCGAGGUGGAAUAUGGUGGAGGGGGGCACCGCACACGGCUAAGGAACGAUCCGUAGAUCAACUUGUGUGUCUAUGGGGUGCCCCCUACCCCCGUAUAUAAAGGAGGGAGGGGGGAGGCCGGCCGGCCCUUGUUGGGCGCGCCAGGAGGAGGAGUCCUCCUCCUAGUAGGAGUAGGACUCCUCCUUUCCUACUCCUACUAGGAGGGGAAGGAAGGGGGAGAGGAGGGGAAGGAANNNNNNNNNNNNNNNNNNNNNNNNNNNNNNNNNNNNNNNNNNNNNNNNNNNNNNNNNNNNNNNNNNNNNNNNNNNNNNNNNNNNNNNNNNNNNNNNNNNNNNNNNNNNNNNNNNNNNNNNNNNNNNNNNNNNNNNNNNNNNNNNNNNNNNNNNNNNNNNNNNNNNNNNNNNNNNNNNNNNNNNNNNNNNNNNNNNNNNNNNNNNNNNNNNNNNNNNNNNNNNNNNNNNNNNNNNNNNNNNNNNNNNNNNNNNNNNNNNNNNNNNNNNNNNNNNNNNNNNNNNNNNNNNNNNNNNNNNNNNNNNNNNNNNNNNNNNNNNNNNNNNNNNNNNNNNNNNNNNNNNNNNNNNNNNNNNNNNNNNNNNNNNNNNNNNNNNNGGUUUUCUCCGAAAUCACCCGGAACACUUCCGGUGUCCGAAUAUAGUCGUCCAAUAUAUCAAUCUUUAUGUCUCGACCAUUUCGAGACUCCUUGUCAUGUCCGUGAUCACAUCCGGGACUCCGAACAAACUUCGGUACAUCAAAACUUGUAAACUCAUAAUAAAACUGUCAUCGUAACAUUAAGCGUGCGGACCCUACGGGUUCGAGAACUAUGUAGACAUGACCUAGAACUAUUCUCGGUCAAUAACCAAUAGCGGAACCUGGAUGCCCAUAUUGGUUCCUACAUAUUCUACGAAGAUCUUUAUCGGUCAAACCGCAUAACAACAUACGUUGUUCCCUUUGUCAUCGGUAUGUUACUUGCCCAAGAUUUGAUCGUCGGUAUCCAAUACCUAGUUCAAUCUCGUUACCGGCAAGUCUCUUUACUCGUUCUGUAACACAUCAUCUUAUAACUAACUCAUUAGUUACAAUGCUUGCAAGUAUUAGGUGAUGAGUAUUACCGAGAGGGCCCAGAGAUACCUCUCCGACAAUCGGAGUGACAAAACCUAAUCUCGAAUUAUGCCAACCCAACAUGUACCUUCGAAAACACCUGUAGAGCACCUUUAUAAUCACCCAGUUACGUUGUAACGUUUGGUAGCACACAAAGUGUUCUUCCGGUAAACGUGAGUUGCACAAUCUCAUAGUUGCAGGAACUUUGUAUAAGUCAUGAAGAAAGCAAUAGCAACAUACUAAACGAUCAAGUGCUAGGCUAACGGAAUGGGUCAUGUCAAUCACAUCAUUCUCCUAAUGAUGUGAUCCCAUUAAUCAAAUGACAACACAUGUCUAUGGUUAGGAAACAUAACCAUCUUUGAUUAAUGAGCUAGUCAAGUAGAGGCAUACUAGUGACUUUAUGUUUGUCUAUGUAUUCACACGUGUAUCAUGUUUCCGGUUAAUACAAUUCUAGCAUGAAUAAUAAACAUUUAUCAUGAUAUGAGGAAAUAAAUAAUAACUUUAUUAUUGCCUCUAGGGCAUAUUUCCUUCAGUCUCCCACUUGCACUAGAAAUAAUCUAGAUUACAUAGUAAUGAUUCUAACACCCAUGGAGUCUUGGUGCUGAUCAUGUUUUGCUCGUGAGAGAGGCUUAGUCAAUGGGUCUGCAACAUUCAGAUCCGUAUGUAUUUCACAAAUAUUCUAUGUCCACAAUGCUCUGCACGGAGCUACUCUAGCUAAUUGCUCCCACUUUCAAUAUGUAUCCAGAUUGAGACUUAGAGUCAUCUGGAUUGGUGUAAAAGCUUGCAUCAUUGUAACUUUUUCGACGGGCUCUUUUAUUAUCUCCAUAAUCGAGAAACAUCUCCUUAGUCCUCACUAAGGAUAUUCUUGACCCAUGUCCAGUGAUCUACUUAUUAGAUCAAAAUUGUAUUCCUUUGCUAAACACAGAGCAAGGUAUACAAUAGGUCUGGUUCACAGCAUAGCAUACUUUAUAGAACCUAUGACUGAGGCAUAGUGAAUGACUUUUCAUUCUCUUUCUAUUUUCUGCAAUGGUCGUGUCUUGAGUCUUACUCAACUUCACACCUUGUAACACAGGCAAGAACUCCUUCUUUGGUUGUUCCAUUUUGAACUAUUUCAAAAAUUUAUCAAGGUAUGUACUCAUUGAAAAAUCUUAUCAAGCGUCUUGAUCUAUCUAUAUAGAUCUUGAUGCUCAAUGUGUAAGCAGCUUCACCGAGGUCUUGCUUUGAAAAACUCUUAUUCAAGUAUCCUUUCAUGCUAUCCAGAAUUUCCAUAUCAUUUCCAAUUAACAAUAUGUCAUCCACAUAUAAUAUUAGAAAUGCUACAGAGCUCCCACUCACUUUCUUGUAAAUACAGGCUUCUUCAAAAAGUAUGUAUAAAACCAUAUGCUUUGAUCAACUCAUCAAAGCAUAUAUUCCAACUCCGAGAUGCUUGCACCAGUCCAUAGAUGGAUCGCUAGAGCUUGCACAAUUUGUUAGCACCUUUAGGAUUGACAAAACCUUCUGGUUGCAUCAUAUACAACUCUUCUUUAAGAAAACCAUUAAGGAAUGCAGUUUUGUUUAUCCAUUUGCCAGAUUUCAUAAAAUGCGGCAAUUGCUAACAUGAUUCAGACAGACUUAAGCAUAGAUACGAGUGAAAAACUCUCAUCGUAGUCAACACCUUGAACUUGUCGAAAACCUUUUGCGACAAUUCUAGCUUUGUAGAUAGUAACAUUAUCAGCGUCCGUCUUCCUCCUGAAGAUCCAUUUAAUCUCAAUGUCUUGCCGAUCAUUGGGCAAGUCAAUCAAAGUCCAUACUUUGUUUUCAUACAUGGAUCUUAUCUCAGAUCUCAUGGCCUCAAGCCAUUUUGCGGAAUCUGGGCUCACCAUCGCUUCUUCAUAGUACGUAGGUUCGUCAUGGUCUAGUAACAUAACUUCCAGAACAGGAUUACCGUACCACUCUGGUGCGGAUCUUACUCUGUAAGACCUACGAGAUUCUGUAGUAACUUAAUCUGAAGUUUCCUGAUCAUCAUCAUUAACUUCCUCACUAAUUGGUGUAGUAGUCAUAGGAACAGAUUUCUGUGAUGAACUACUUUCAAAUGAGGGAGCAGGUAUAGUUACCUCAUCAAGUUCUACUUUCCUUCCACUCACUUCUUUCAAGAGAAACUCCUUCUCUAGCAAGGAUCCAUUCUCAGCAACGAAUGUUUUGCCUUCGGAUCUGUGAUAGAAGGUGUACCCAACAGUUUCUUUUGGGUAUUCUAUGAAGAUGCACUUCUCCGAUUUGGGUUCGAGCUUAUCAGGUUGAAAACCUUUUUCAUAUAAGCAUCGCAACUCCAAAUUUUAAGAAACGACAGCUUAGGUUUACUGCUAAACCAUAGUUCAUACGGUGUCGUCUCAACGGAUUUAGAUGGUGCCCUUUUUAAACGUGAAUGCAGCUGUCUCUAAUGCACAACCCCAAAACGAUAGUGGUAAAACCGAUAAGAGACAUCAUAGAUCGCACCAUAUCCAAUAAAGUGCGGUUACGACGUUCGGACACACCAUAACGUUGUGGUGUUCCAGGUGGCGUGAGCUGUGAAACUAUUCCACAUUGUUUUAAUUGAAGACCAAACUCGUAAUUCAUAUAUUCGUCUCCGCGAUCAUAUCGUAGAAACUUUAUUUUCUUGUUACGAUGAUUUUUCCACUUCACUCUGAAAUUCUUUGAAAUUUUUAUUUCAGACUUAUGUUUCAUCAAGUAGAUAUACCCAUAUCUGCUCAAAUCAUUUUGUGAAGGUCAGAAAAUAACGAUACUUGCCACGAGCAUCAACACUCAUUGGAUCGCAUACAUCGGUAUGUAUUAUUUCCAACAAGUCAGCAGCUCGUUCCAUUGUUCUGAAGAACAGAGUUUUAGUUAUCUUGCCCAUAAGGCACGGUUCACAAGCAUCAAAUGAUUCAUAACCAAGUGAUUCCAAAAAUCCAUCUUUAUGGAGUUUCUUCAUGCGCUUUACACCGAUAUGACCCAAACGGCAGUGCCACAAAUAAUUUGCACUAUCAUUAUCAAUUUUGCAUCUUUUAGCAUCAAUAUUAUGAUUAUGUGUAUUACUACGAUCGAGACCCAACAAACUAUUUUCAUUGGGUGUAUGACCAUCGAAGGCUUUAUUCAUGUAAACAGAAUAACAAUUAUUCUUUGACUUUAAAUGAAUAACCGUAUUGCAAUAAACAUGAUCAAAUCAUAUUCACGCUCAACGCAAACGCCAAAUAACAUUUAUUUAGGUUUAACACUAAUCCCGAAAGUAUAGGGAGUGAUGAUGAUCAUAUCAAUCUUGGAACCACUUCCAACACACAUCGUCACUUCACCCUCAACUAGUUUCUGUUUAUUCUGUAACCUCCGUUUCGAGUUACUAAUAUUUAGCAAUCGAACAAGUAUCAAAUACUCAGGGGCUACUAUAAACACUAGUAAAGUACAUAUCAAUAACAUGUAUAUCAAAUAUACCCUUGUUCACUUUGCCAUCCUUCUUAUCCACCAAAUAUUCAGGGCAUUUCCGCUUCUAGUGACCAUUUCCUUUGCAGUAUAAUCACUCAGUUUCAGGCUUUGGUUCAGCUUUGGACUUCUUCGUGGGAGUGACAACUUGCUUGUCAUUCUAGUUGAAGUUCCCUUUCUUUCCCUUUGCCCUUUACUUGAAACUAGUGAUCUUGUCAACCAUCAACACUUGAUGCUCUUUCUUGAUUUCUACCUUCGUCGAUUUCAACAUCACGAAGAGCUCGGGAAUCGUUUUCGUCAUCCCUUGCAUAAUGUAGUUCAUCUUGGAGUUCUAGUAACUUAGUGAUGGUGACUAGAGAAUUCUGUCAAUCACUAUCUUAUCUAGAAGAUUAACUCCCACUUGAUUCAAGCGAUUGAAGUAUCCAGACAAUCUGAGCACAUGCUCACUAGUUGAGCGAUUCUCCUCCAUCUUUUAGCUAUAGAACUUGUUGGAGACUUCAUAUCUCUCAACUCGGGUAUUUGCUUGAAAUAUUAACUUCAAUUCCUGGAACAUCUCAUAUAGUCCAUGAUGUUCAAAACAUCUUUGAAGUCCCGAUUCUAAGCCAUAAAGCAUGGUGCACAAAACUAUCAAGUAGUCAUCAUAUUGAGCUAGCCAAACGUUCAUAACGUCUGCAUCUGCUCCUGCAAUAGGUCUGUCACCUAGCGGUGCAUUAAGGACAUAAUUCUUCUGUGCAGCAAUGAGGAUAAACCUCAGAUCGUGGAUCCAAUCCGCAUCAUUGCUACUAACAUUUUUCAACACAAUUUUCUCUAGGAACAUAUCAAAAUAAACAUAUGAAAGCAACAUCGCAAGCUAUUGAUCUUACAACAUAAUUUGCAAAAUACUACCAGGACUAAGUUCAUGAUAAAUUUAAGUUCAAUUAAUCAUAUUACUUAAGAACUCCCACUUAGACAAACAUCUCUUGAGUCAUCUAAGUGAUCACGUGAUCCAAAUCAACUAAACCAUAACCGAUCAUCACGUGAGAUGGAGUAGUUUUCAAUGGUGAACAUCACUAUGUUGAUCAUAUCUACUAUAUGAUUCACGCUCGACCUUUCAGUCUCCGUGUUCCGAGGCCAUAUCUGCAUAUGCUAGGCUCGUCAAGUAUAACCUGAAUAUUCUGCGUGUGCAAAAUUGGCUUGCACCCGUUGUAGAUGGACGUAGAGCUUAUCACACCCGAUCAUCACGUGGUGUCUGGGCACGACGAACUUUGGCAACGGUGCAUAUUCAGGGAGAACACUUCUUGAUAAUUUUUAGUGAGAGAUCAUCUUAAAAUGCUACCGUCAAUCAAAGCAAGAUAAGAUGCAUAAAGGAUAAACAUCACAUGCAAUCAAUAUAAGUGAUAUGAUAUGGCCAUCAUCAUCUUGUGCUUGUGAUCUCCAUCUCCGAAGCACCGUCGUGAUCACCAUCGUCACCGGCGCGACACCUUGAUCUCCAUCGUAGCAUCAUUGUCGUUUACGCCAUCUAUUGCUUCUACGACUAUCUCUACCGCUUAGUGAUAAAGUAAAGCAAUUACAGGGCAUUUGCAUUUCAUACAAUAAAGCGACAACCAUAUGGCUCCUGCCAGUUGCCGAUAACUUCGGUUACAAAACAUGAUCAUCUCAUACAAUAAAAUAUAGCAUCACAUCUUGACCAUAUCACAUCACAACAUGCCCUGCAAAAACAAGUUAGACGUCCUCUACUUUGUUGUUGCAAAUUUUACGUGGCUGCUACGGGCUUAGCAAGAACCGUUCUUACCUACGCAUCAAAACCACAAUGAUAGUUCGUCAAGUUAGUGUUGUUUUAACCUUCGCAAGGACCGGGCGUAGCCACACUCGAUUCAGCUGAAGUGAGAGAGACAGACACCCGCCAACCACCUUUAAGCACAAGUGCUCGCAACGGUGAAACCAGUCUCGCGUAAGCGUACGUGUAAUGUCGGUCCGUGCCGCUUCAUCUCACAAUACCGCCGAACCAAAGUAUGACAUGCUGGUAAGCAGUAUGACUUGUAUCGCCCACAACUCACUUGUGUUCUACUCGUGCAUAUAACAUCAACGCCUAAAACCAGGCUCUGAUACCACUGUUGGGGAACGUAGUAACUUCAAAAAAUUUCAUACGCACACGCAAGAUCAUGGUGAUGCAUAGCAACGAGAGGGGAGAGUGUUCGUCCACGUACUCUCGUAGACCGUAAGCGGAAGCGUUAUGACGACGCGGUCGAUGUAGUCGUACGUCUUCACGAUCCGACCGAUCCAAGCACCGAACGUACGGCACCUCCAAGUUCUGCACACGUUCAGCUCGAUGACGAUCCCCGGGCUCCGAUCCAGCAAAGCUUCGGGGAUGAGUUCCGUCAGCACGACGGCGUGGUGACGAUGAUGAUGUUCUACCGGCGCAGGGCUUCGCCUAAACUCCACGACGAUAUGACCGAGGUGGAAUAUGGUGGAGGGGGGCACCGCACACGGCUAAGGAACGAUCCGUAGAUCAACUUGUGUGUCUAUGGGGUGCCCCUGCCCCCGUAUAUAAAGGAGGGAGGGGGGAGGCCGGCCGGCCCUUGUUGGGCGCGCCAGGAGGAGGAGUCCUCCUCCUAGUAGGAGUAGGACUCCUCCUUUCCUACUCCUACUAGGAGGGGAAGGAAGGGGGAGAGGAGGGGAAGGAAAGAGGGGGGCGCCGCCCCCCCUCCUAGUCCAAUUCGGACCAGAGGGAGAGGGGGCGCGCGGCCCUUCCUGGCCNNNNNNNNNNNNNNNNNNNNNNNNNNNNNNNNNNNNNNNNNNNNNNNNNNNNNNNNNNNNNNNNNNNNNNNNNNNNNNNNNNNNNNNNNNNNNNNNNNNNNNNNNNNNNNNNNNNNNNNNNNNNNNNNNNNNNNNNNNNNNNNNNNNNNNNNNNNNNNNNNNNNNNNNNNNNNNNNNNNGUAACCCUCCGGCACUCCGGUUUUCUCCGAAAUCACCCGGAACACUUCCGGUGUCCGAAUAUAGUCGUCCAAUAUAUCAAUCUUUAUGUCUCGACCAUUUCGAGACUCCUCGUCAUGUCCGUGAUCACAUCCGGGACUCCGAACAAACUUCGGUACAUCAAAACUUGUAAACUCAUAAUAAAACUGUCAUCGUAACGUUAAGCGUGCGGACCCUGCGGGUUCGAGAACUAUGUAGACAUGACCUAGAACUAUUCUCGGUCAAUAACCAAUAGCGGAACCUGGAUGCCCAUAUUGGUUCCUACAUAUUCUACGAAGAUCUUUAUCGGUCAAACCGCAUAACAACAUACGUUGUUCCCUUUGUCAUCGGUAUGUUACUUGCCCGAGAUUUGAUCGUCGGUAUCCAAUACCUAGUUCAAUCUCGUUACCGGCAAGUCUCUUUACUCAUUCUGUAACACAUCAUCUUAUAACUAACUCAUUAGUUACAAUCCUUGCAAGGCUUAGGUGAUGAGUAUUACCGAGAGGGCCUAGAGAUACCUCUCCGACAAUCGGAGUGACAAAACCUAAUCUCGAAUUAUGCCAACCCAACAUGUACCUUCAGAAACACCUGCAGAGCACCUUUAUAAUCACCCAGUUAUGUUGUGAUGUUUGGUAGCACACAAAGUGUUCUUCCGGUAAACGUGAGUUGCACAAUCUCAUAGUUGCAGGAACUUUGUAUAAGUCAUGAAGAAAGCAAUAGCAACAUACUAAACGAUCAAGUGCUAGGCUAACGGAAUGGGUCAUGUCAAUCACAUCAUUCUCCUAAUGAUGUGAUCCCAUUAAUCAAAUGACAACACAUGUCUAUGGUUAGGAAACAUAACCAUCUUUGAUUAAUGAGCUAGUCAAGUAGAGGCAUACUAGUGACUUUAUGUUUGUCUAUGUAUUCACACGUGUAUCAUGUUUCCGGUUAAUACAAUUCUAGCAUGAAUAAUAAACAUUUAUCAUGAUAUGAGGAAAUAAAUAAUAACUUUAUUAUUGCCUCUAGGGCAUAUUUCCUUCAAAUGAUUAUGUCGAGUGGAGGAGACCAGCUGGAUGAUAGCCUUGCCAUGCAAGCGCAUGAGGAAAGAGACAGGACAACUGGAUUAGCGGUGAUUGGCCUGCAUGCCUCGACCGGGGAGCCAUCCAUGCAAACUGAGAGCGCGAUACGUGCGGAGGAAGGCACUGAGGGGAUGACAGCCCAGGAAGCGGUGGCCUUCGGUAGGAUGAAAGCAUUCUGCUCCAGUAUCAUUAAGAGGCUUGCACCACCACUGAUCAAGGAGGUUCAGGCGACCAGCCUUCGUCCGGAGGCAGACCCUUUCACGCCAAAGAGGACCACGCGGGCCGCUAGGCGCAUGGCCAUGAGCACGACAAAGGCGUCCCCGGCGGAAACAGUACUGAUGAGAGCUUUGGGGAUUGCACCGGAGGAUCUGCAAGUGGACGAUGACACGGUGCAAGAGCUCAAAGGGCUGUUCGAUUCACCAUUACGGGAGCAGCAUGUGAGGGUCAUAGCGGCGAUCUUCGGCAAGAGCAUGCCGAGCAGGCAGGACAUGGUGAGGGCUCACGACACAGUGGUGUUGACCCACUGAUCGCACCCCUGGAGGUGGUGUGGUGUUGGAGUUCAUUGUUCCUCAAUGGAUUGCAACCCGGAAGUGCUUUGCUGGAACAUGCAGCGCAAAAAGAAAGGCCGUAAGGGAGUUCGUGGCGACAAUUCAGGUUAACUUGGUGUGUCUACAAGAGACCAAACUGCAUGUAAUUGAUCAAUUUGAUGUAAUGCAAUGCGUGGGGCCAUCUUUUGAUGGUUUUGCCUAUUUGCCGGCGUCGGAGACUAGAGGUGGCAUUUUACUUGCAUGGAACACCACAGUUAUAACGGUGGAUAAUGUGGUGCUCGACACACAUUGCAUAACUGGUAGGGUGAACACUAAGGAGGGCAACAACUGGUGGAUCACGGGGGUCUACGGGCCGCAAGGGGAUGACGAGAAGCUCGUGUUCCUGAACGAGCUAAGGGCAAGAAGGGUGGCGUGCCCUGGCCAAUGGGUUGCCAUGGGCGACUUCAACAUGAUCUUGCGCGCGAAUGAAAAGAAUAACACGAACCUAAACAGAACCACCAUGAACUAUUUCAGGAGCUUUGUGGAUGACAACGAGUUGAAGGAAAUUUAUAUGCACGGAAGGAAAUACACUUGGUCUAAUGAGAGGGAUAGUCCAACAAUGACUAAGAUUGAUCGAGUGCUUGUUUCGGUGGAUUGGGAGUUGACGUAUCCGGACUGCCUACUCUAGGCUCUCUCCAGGGGUGUAUCUGAUCACGCACCCCUUCAUAUCUCCACCAGUGCUAUGUGCAACCCUAAGAGAAGGUUCAGAUUUGAGAUCUUUUGGACCAAACUGGAAGGUUUUGAGCAGGCAAUUGCGGACGCCUGGAGGUGUGACCAAGGGAUCAUGGACCCUUUCAAACGACUUGAUGCCCUAUUUAGAAAUGCAGGAGCUGCUUUACAAUCCUGGGGACAGAGAAAGGUUGGGAACAUCAAACUGCUCAUGGCGGUCGCGCACUGGAUUAUCCUUCGACUCGAUCAGGCACAAGAAGGAAGGCUGCUAACUGCAGAGGAGCAUUGGUUACGACGAACUCUGAAGUUGUCCCUACUGGGGAUCGCAUCCCUAGAGAGAACUAUUCAACGCCAGCGCUCCCGGAUUAGAUGGUUGCAGGCAGGGGACGCCAAUUCCAAAUUGUUUCAGGCAGUGGCAAAUGGGCGAAGAACAAAGAACUUCAUCCCUCACGUAAAGAUCAAUGGGGAAAUCAUCACGGAUCAAGAGCGUAAGCAGGAAGCUUUCACUGAGGCUUACGAGAACUUGAUCGGGACUGCCAAGGCGAGGGACUGCACUCUGAAUCUUGAGUACCUGGGGAUGGAAACGCUAGACCUACAUGAUCUGGAGGGCAUGUUUACGGAGGAGGAAGUAUGGGAAGUUAUAAAGGACCUUCCGGCGGAUCGUGCUCCGGGGCCCGAUGGAUUCAUUGGUGCUUUCUACCAGAAGGCCUGGCCCCUGAUAAAACAUGAUAUCAUGGCCGCGAUGCAUAAGUUAUACGUUGGGGAUGGGCGAGGCUUUGGGAAGCUAAACAAGGCCCUGAUCGUACUAAUUCCCAAAAAGCCUGAUGCCGAGGAAAUAGGUGACUAUCGGCCCAUCAGCCUGCCCCACAGCUUCGCUAAAUUAUUCGCUAAGAUGCUGGCCAACAGGGCACGACGGAGGAUGAAGGAGAUAGUCUCUACAAAUCAAUCAGCCUUCAUUAUGGGGAGAAACCUGCACGACAACUUUCUUUUGGUCAGACAGGUCGCGAAGAGAAUAUAUGGCCGAAAGGAGAAAGGAGUUUUUCUUAAGCUUGACAUCACAAGAGCGUUUGACUCCCUGUCAUGGCCUUUCUUAUUUGAGAAGGAAAGGGUUUGGGGAUACCUGGCUGAGAUGGAUUGCAAUUUUAUUGCAGUCAGCUACCACCAAGGUGUUAGUGAAUGGUGUCCCGGGAAGGAGUUUCGCUCACGCUUGUGGAUUGAGGCAGGGGGAUCCCAUCUCUCCCCUGCUCUUUGUCAUUGCAAUGGAAGCCUUAACAGCAAUGUUCUCCAAGGCCAUGGAGGUAGGUACUAUGAGUUCUUUCAAUGGAGUUACGGCUACACAGAGGUUAUCAAUCUAUGCGGACGACGUGGCAUUGUUCAUCAGACCCACCAUGGCCGACCUAAACUUUGUGCGAGUUGUGCUGGACAUCUUUGGAGAAGCAUCCGGAUUGAAAGUCAAUUACAGAAAAUCCCUUGCUAUACUCAUCCGUGGAUCUGAGAUAGACCGCAACUGUGUGACUGGGAUUUUGCAGUGUCGCAUUGGAGACUUUACCUGCAAGUAUUUGGGAAUCCAACUGUCCAUAUCUCAGCCGACAAGGCCGGAUUGGCAGCCUAUGCUGGAUCGUGUGCAUCACUACGUCCCGACCUGACAGCAUGGCCUGAUCCAGCGGCCGGGGAGACUAAUCCUAGUCAAAUCAGUUGUCGCUGCUCGGCCGGUGCAUCACCUCAUGAUCCUGGACGCACCACAAUGGGUAUACGAAGACAUAAACACCUGGCUCAGGUCCUUCUUUUGGGCAGGAAAGGAAAAAUCUCAUGGGGGCCAGUGUCUGGUGGCGUGGAACCUGAUCUGUCGGCCGUACAACCUUGGGGGUCUGGGAGUCAAGAACCUAAAGUUACAGGCACUUGCUCUUCGAGUGCGAUGGGAAUGGCUCCGAAGAACGGAUGAAGGGCGCCCAUGGUAGGGACUGAAGCUCAUUAUCGAUGAGGAGGCACGUGAGGUCUUUGAUAGUCUAGUUUCCAUAUCAGUUGGGGAUGGCAAGAGGAUCUUAUUUUGGAAGGAUGGGUGGAUCAAUGGACGCACUGCGGCUGAAAUCGCGCCAACCAUCACAACUGUGGUACCUACUCGGAAGAAGAACACGCGCACUGUCCAUCAUGCACUUGGGGAAUGAGAUGGGAGCUUGAUAUCCCAGAUGGACUCACCUUUACGAUGCAAAUGCAGCUCUACAUGCUACAGCAGGCGAUAUCCCUGGUGGACAGGGAUGAGCAUCGACAAAUUUACCUGGCCGGCAGACAUCACAGGAGUGUAUACUGCAAAAUCAACCUACAAGCGACUGUGCAUGGGACAAACUUCCUUCGAGCCUGCAGCAUAUAUUUGGAAGUGUUGGGCGCCACUGAAAUGCAAAAUAUUCAUUUGGCUAGCGGUACAAUAUCAUGUCUGGACAUCGGACUGCAGAGCACGGCACGGCCUGCAGGACCAUGCUUCCGUGUGCUUCACUUGCAACGGAGAUGAAGAUAACAUGGAGCAUAUUUUGAUGCAGUGUGCAUACGCUCGUGAAACUUGGCACUUGAUCUUGGAGCACUACAGAAUGGACAUCCAAAACCCCACCCCACAGAACACUUUGGUGGAAUGGUGGACGGCAGCUAGGCAGAGCUUCCACAGGAGGGAGAGGAGAGGUUUUGACUCGCUCACUCUCAUCACCACCUGGUCCUUGUGGAAACAAAGGAACGCUCGGGUGUUUGGGAGAAUCGCUCAGCAGAGGAACCCAAUGCAGAUGACAUCAUUGAUGAAAUUAACGAGUGGAAGCAGCCUGGAGCAGGAGGGCUGCAUAGAUUAGAGAGAGAGUAGCUUGUAGGCUCUGUAGGUGUGGGUGUUGGUGGUGUCUCCUCGCCGUUGUUCGCAACGGUGGGAGCCUCUUGUAAAUUGACUUGCUUUCUUCUAUAAAAAUAUGGUACACCAUUGGCGUACCCUCGAAAAAAAACAUUCUAGACUUAUUUAGAUUUUUUUUGGCAAUGUCCGUUUAGUGAGACGAGAUGCUUCUGAAGCGUGUGUGGCGGCUUCAUCAAUCUCAAGAAUAUGGGUGAAUGUAUGUAUAUGUAUGUGAGCAUUUGUGGUUGUACUGUCUUUAAAAAAUACAUUCGUUGUUGCAGAAACAAAAUUGAUCCUUGUGUCGUUGGCUUUUUAUAAAGUGUGAAUUCUAGUGAUCAAAACAAAGCAUCAAGUAUACAGACGUACACAAUCAACGCUGAGAGCAAUCCUAACUGGCAUCAUCAUGUUUUACGUUUAGUUUUGUAUCAUGGGAUUAGUCAAAAUUUUACCACGCUCGCACACCUUUUUAUUGAUUUUAUCAGGAUCCUUAACGCGAGAUGCAAAGAAAAAGAAUCUUGUGAUACGGUGUGAAAAUCGUGUUAAUUUACGUGAUAAAAACAUCUCAUAAAGAGUACAAGGCAAGAACAGCAAAAAUCAGCCACAUGAGGGACUCCAUGGAAAAAGACGACGUCUAGUACGAGCACGCGCGCUCGUACCAGCUACCGCCCCCACCUCGUGAUCAACUAUUUUAACCCUGUGCCUUCAAAUUGAGAGAAUAAGCAAAACAGAGACUAGAAACUCCACCAGACUCAAGAACCCUAGCCUCUGGAAGGGAUCCGGAGAGUGGAAUCGAUACAAGGGUUUCAAUACACCAUCGUCUCGGUCAAGAGGACUACGUCAUCCGCCAUUUCCAUCUCUUUGUAAUGAAAAACCCUAGCGGAUCCUGUUCUUGUAUUACUUUGAUCGUUCAUCUAUAAUCAUCAUGAUUUAUCCUUUGGUGCUUAUCGUUCUCAUGUCCGAGUAGACUCCCUAGUUCUCGGGGAUAUGAAGGAAGCCUAGUAAGUUUAGUUGAUGAACCCCGAUAGGAUUUGAUAUCCUCUUUGUAUGUUCAUGUUAAUAACCUUCUCCAUGUUAAUUAGUUGAAGUCGAUCACCCAACAUUUACCUCUUUGGGAGAAAAGAUUAUUACCAUUGAUGUGAUUGUGGGUUUUCGGAGGUAUCGUGAUGACAUAAGCUACUUCCCUCCCUCCUAAACAUUGCAAUAGGGAUCAAUGGAGACUGUCUUUAGCUGCAUCCAUGGGAAACCCUUAAUCACUGUUCUGGAAACAGAAUGUGGGAGGAACCAUUGUGGUGUAUGUGAUGUGUAGUUGCUGCAUGUAUGCAUGCAUUUGUACUUGGCUCUGCCCACUUUUAGAAUGAUACUAUUGUUGGGGAACGUAGUAAUUUCAAAAAAAAAUCCUACGCACAUGCAAGAUCAUGGUGAUGCAUAGCAACGAGAGGGGAGAGUGUUGUCCACGUACCCUCGUAGACCGUAAGCGGAAGCGUUUAUGACAACGCGGUUGAUGUAGUCGUAUGUCUUCACGAUCGACCGAUCCUAGUACCGAACGUACGGCACCUCCAUGAUCUGGAAACGUUCGGCUCGGCGAUGUACCACGAACUCACGAUCCAGCAGAGUGUCUAGGGAGAGCUUCGUCAACACGACAGCGUGAUGACGGUGAUGAUGAAGCUACCGGCGCAGGGCUUCGCCUAAGCACUACGACGAUAUGACCGAGGUGGAUUAUGGUGGAGGGGGCACCGCACACAGCUGGAAACAAUCAACUUGUGUGUUCUAGGGUGCCCCCUGCCCUCGUAUAUAAAGGAGCAAGGCGGAGGCCGGCCGGCCUUGGGGCGCACCAAGGAGAGGGAGGAGUCCUCCUCCUAGUAGGAGUAGGACUCCCCUUUCCUAGUCCAACUAGGAAGGAGGAAGGGGAAAGGAAGGAGAGGGAGAGAGGAAGGAAAGAGGGGGAGCCGCCCCCCUCCUUGUCCAAUUCAGACUCCCAAGGGGGGGGGGGGUGGCCAGCCCUAGGCCCUCUCCUCUCUCUCCCAUAAGGCCCAUGAUGGCCCAUUAGUUCCCCCGGGGGUUCCGAUAACCCACCGGCACUCCGAUAAUUAUUCGGUGACCCCCGAAACACUUCCGGUGUCCGAAUAUAGUCGUCCAAUAUAUCAAUCUUUAUGUCUUGACCAUUUCGAGACUCCUCGUCAUGUCCAUGAUCACAUCCGGGACUCUGAACUAUCUUCGGUACAUCAAAACACAUAAACUCAUAAUACGGAUCAUCACCGAACGUUAAGCGUGCGGACCCUACGGGUUCGAGAACUAUGUAGACAUGACUGAGACACGUCUCCGGUCAAUAACUAAUAGUGGAACCUGGAUGCUCAUAUUGGUUCCUACAUAUUCUUUGAAGAUCUUUAUCGGUCAAACCGCAUAACAACAUACAUUGUUCCCUUUGUCAUCGGUAUGUUACUUGCCCGAGAUUCGAUCGUCUUAUCUCAAUACCUAGUUCAAUCUCGUUACCGGCAAGUCUCUUUACUCGUUCCAUAAUGCAUCAUCCCGCAACUAACUCAUAGUCACAUUGCUUGCAAGGCUUAUAGUGAUGUGCAUUAUCGAGAGGGCCCAAAGAUACCUCUCCGACAAUCGGAGUGACAAAUCCUAAUCUCGAUCUAUGCCAACUCAACAAGUACUAUCAGAGACACCUGUAGAGCACCUUUAUAAUAACCCAGUUACGUUGUGACGUUUGGUAGCACACAAAGUGUUCCUCCGGUAUCCGGGAGUUGCAUAAUCUCAUAGUCAUAGGAACAUGUAUAAGUCAUGAAGAAAGCAAUAGCAAUAUACUAAACGAUCAAGUGCUAAGCUAACGGAAUGGGUCAAGUCAAUCACAUCAUUCUCUAAUGAUGCGAUACCGUUAAUCAAAUGACAACUCAUGUCUAUGGCUAGGAAACUUAACCAUCUUUGAUUCAACGAGCUAGUCAAGUAGAGGCAUACUAGUGACACUCUAUUUGCAUAUGUAUCCACACAUGUAGUAAGUUUCCGGUUAAUACAAUUCUAGCAUGAAUAAUAAACAUUUAUCAUGAAAUAAGGAAAUAAAUAAUAACUUUUUUAUUGCCUCUAGGGCAUAUUUCCUUCAGUCUCUCACUUGCACUAGAGUCAAUAAUCUAGUUCACAUCGCCAUGUGAUUUAACACCAAUAGUUCACAUCACCAUGUGAUUAACACCCAUAGUUCACAUUGCCAUGUGACCAACACUCAAAGGGUUUACUAGAUUCAGUAAUCUUAGUUCACAUCGCCAUGUGAUUAACACCCAAAGAGUACUAAGGUGUGAUCAUUGUUUGCUUGUGAGAGAAGUUUAGUCAACGGGUCUGCCAUAUUCAGAUCCGUAUGUAUUUUGCAAAUUUCUAUGUCAACAUGCUUUGCACGGAGCUACUCUAGCUAAUUUCUCCCACUUUCAAUAUGUAUCCAGAUUGAGACUUAGAGUCAUCUGGAUCAGUGUCAAAACUUGCAUCGACGUAAACCUUUACGACGAACCUUUUGUCACCUCCAUAAUCGAGAAACUUAUCCUUAUUCCACUAAUGAUAAUUUUGACCGCUAUCUAGUGAUCUACUCCUAGAUCACUACUGUACUCCCUUGCCAAACUCAGUGUAGGGUAUACAAUAGAUUUGGUACACAGCAUGGCAUACUUUACAGAACCUAGGGCUGAGGCAUAGGGAAUGACUUUUAUUCUCUUUCUAUCUUCUGCCAUAGUCGGGCUUUGAGUCUUACUCAAUUUCACACCUUGCAAUACAGGCAAGAACUCCUUCUUUGACUGUUCCAUUUUGAACUUCUUCAAAAAUUUGUCAAUGUAUGUACUCAUUGAAAAAACUUAUCAAGAGUCUUGAUCUAUCUCUAUAGAUCUUGAUGCUCGAUAUGUAAGCAGCUUCAUCGAGGUCUUUCUUUGAAAAACUCCUUUCAAACUAUCCUUUUAUGCUUUCCAGAAAAUUCUACAUCAUUUCCGAUCAACAAUAUGUCAUUCACAUAUACUUAUCAGAAAGGUUGUAGUUCUCCCACUCACUUUCUUGUAAAUACAGGCUUCAUCGCAAGUCUGUAUAAAACUCAUCAAAGCGUAUAUUCCAACUCUGAGAUGCUUUGCACCAGUCCAUGGGUGGAUCGCUGGAGCUUGCACAUUUUGUUAGCACCUUUAGGAUCAACAAAACCUUCUGGUUGCAUCAUAUACAACUCUUCUUUAAGAAAUCCAUUAAGGAAUGUAGUUUUGACAUCCAUUUUCCAGAUUUCAUAAAAUGUGGCAAUUUGCUAACAUGAUUCGGAUAGACUUAAGCAUCGCUACGAGUGAGAAAAUCUCAUCGUAGUCAACACCUUGAACUUUGUCAAAAACCUUUUUCGACAAGUCUAGCUUUGUAGAUAGUAACACUACUAUCAGCAUCCGUCUUCCUCUUGAAGAUCCAUUUAUUUUCUAUGGCUUGCCAAUCAUCGGGCAAGUCAACCAAAGUCUACACUUUGUUCUCAUACAUGGAUCCCAUCUCAGAUUUCAUGGCCUCAAGACAUUUCGCGGAAUCUAGGCUCAUCAUCGCUUCCUCAUAGUUCGUAGGUUCAUCAUGGUCAAGUAACAUGACCUCCAGAACAGGAUUACCAUACCACUCUGGUGCGGACCUUACUUUGGUUGACCUAUGAGGUUCGGUAGUAACUUGACCUAAAGUUACAUGAUCAUCAUCAUUAGCUUCCUUAUUAAUUGGUGUAGGAGUCACAGAAAGAGAUUUCUGUGAUGAACUACUUUCCAAUAAGGGAGCAGGUACAUUUACCUCAUCAAGUUCUACUUUCCUCCCACUCACUUCUUUAGAGAGAAACUCCUUCUCUAGAAAGGAUCCAUUCUUAGCAACGAAUGUCUUGCCUUCAGAUCUGUGAUAGAAGGUGUACCCAACUGUCUCCUUUGGGUAUCCUAUGAAGACACAUUUCUCCGAUUUGGGUUUGAGCUUAUCAGGAGAAACCUUUUCUCAUAAGCAUCGCAACCCCAAACUUUAAGAAACGACAACUUUGGUUUCUUGCCAAACCACAGUUCAUAUGGUGUUGUCUCAACGGAUUUAGAUGGUGCCCUAUUUAACGUGAAUACAACUGUCUCUAAUUCAUAACCCCAAAACGAUAGUGGUAAAUUGGUAAGAGAGAUCAUAGAUUGCACCAUAUCUAAUAAAGUACGGUUACGAUGUUCGGACACACCAUUACACUAUGGUGUUCCAGGUGGCGUGAGUUGCGAAACUAUUCCGAAUUGUUUCAAAUGAAGACCAAACUCAUAACUCAAAUAUUCUCCUCCACGAUCAGAUCGUAGAAACUUUAUUUUCUUGUUACGAUGAUUUUCCACUUCACUCUGAAAUUAUUUGAACUUUUCAAAUGUUUUAGAUUUAUGUUUCAUCAAGUAGAUAUACCCAUAUCUGCUCAAAUCAUCUAUGAAGGUCAGAAAAUAACGAUACCUGCCGCGAGCCUCAACACUCAUCGGACUGCAUACAUUAGUAUGUAUUAUUUCCAAUAAGUCUGUUGCUCGCUCCAUUGUUCUGGAGAACGAAGUCUUAGUCAUCUUGCCCAUGAGGCAUGGUUCGCAAGCAUCAACUGAUUCAUAAUCAAGUGAUUCCAAAAGCCCAUCAACAUGGAUUUUCUUCAUGCGCUUUACACCAAUAUGACCUAAACGGGAGUGCCACAAAUAAGUUGCACUAUCAUUAUUAACUUUGCAUCUUUUGGCUUCAAUAUUAUGAAUAUGUGUAUCACUACGAUCGAGAUUCAAUAAACCAUUCACCUUGGGUGUAUGACCAUUGAAGGUUUUAUUCAUGUAAACAGAACAACAAUUAUUCUCUGACUUUAAAUGAAUAACCGUAUUGCAAUAAACAUGAUCAAAUCAUAUUCAUGCUUAACGCAAACACCAAAUAACAUUUAUUUAGAUUCAACACUAAUCCCGAAAGUAUAGGGAGUGUGCGAUGAUGAUCAUAUCAAUCUUGGAACCACUUCCAACACACAUCGUCACUUCACCCUUAACUAGCCUCUGUUCAUUCUGCAACUCUCGUUUCGAGUUACUAAUCUUAGCAACUGAACUAGUAUCAAAUACCGAGGGGUUGCUAUAAACACUAGUAAAGUACACAUCAAUAACAUGUAUAUCAAAUAUACCUUUGUUCACUUUGCCAUCCUUCUUAUCCGCCAAAUACUUGGGGCAGUUCUGCUUCCAGUGACCAGUCCCUUUGCAAUAGAAGCACUUAGUCUCAGGCUUAGGUCUAGACUUGGGCUUCUUCACUUGAGCAGCAACUUGCUUGCCGUUCUUCUUGAAGUUCCCCUUCUUCCCUUUGCCCUUUUCUUGAAACUAGUGGUCUUGUCAACCAUCAACACUUGAUGCUUUUCUUGAUUUCUACCUUCAUCGAUUUCAGCAUCACGAAGAGCUUGGGAAUUGUUUCCGUUAUUCCUUGCAUAUUAUAGUUCAUCACGAAGUUCUCGUAACUUGGUGAUAGUGACUAGAGAACUCCUGGAAGAUUAACUCCCACUUGAUUCAAGUGAUUGUAGUACUCAGACAUUCUGAGCACAUGCUUACUAGCUGAGCAAUUCUCCUCCAUCUUGUAGGCAAAGUGCUUGUCAAAGGUCUCAUACCUUUCGACAUGGGCAUGAGUCUGAAAUACUAAUUUCAACUCUUGGAACAUCGCAUAUGCUCCAUGGCGUUCAAAACGUCUUUGAAGCCUCGAUUCUAAGCUGUAAAGCAUGGUGCACUAAACUAUCAAGUAGUCAUCAUAUGAGCUUGCCAAACGUUCAUAACGUUUGCAUCUGCUCCUGCAAUCGGUCUGUCACCUAGCGGUGCAUCAAGGUCAUAAUUCUUCUGUGCAGCAAUGAGGAUAAUCCUCAGAUCACAGAUCCAAUCCGCAUCAUUGGUACUAACAUCUUUCAACUUAGUUUUCUCUAGGAACAUAUCAAAAAUAAAACACGGGAGCUAAAUGCGAGCUAUUGAUCUACAACAUAGAUAUGCUAAUACUACCAGGACUAAGUUCAUGAUAAAUUUAAAGUUCAAUUGAUCAUAUUACUUAAGAACUCCCACUUAGAUAGACAUCCCUCUAGUCAUCUAGAUGAUCACGUGAUCCAAAUCAACUAAACCAUGUCCGAUCAUCACGUGAGAUGGAGUAGUUUUCAAUGGUGAACAUCACUAUGUUGAUCAUAUCUACUAUAUGAUUCACGCUCGACCUUUCGGUCUCCAGUGUUCCGAGGCCAUAUCUGCAUAUGCUAGGCUCGUCAAGUUUAACCCGAGUAUUCUGCGUGUGCAAAACUGGCUUGCACCCGUUGUAUGUGAACGUAGAGCUUAUCACACCCGAUCAUCACGUGGUGUCUCGGCACGACGAACUUUCACAAUGGUGCAUACUCAGGGAGAACACUUAUACCUUGAAAAUUUAGUGAGAGAUCAUCUUAUAAUGAUACCGUCGAACUAAGCAAAAUAAGAUGCAUAAAGGAUAAACAUCACAUGCAAUCAAUAUAAGUGAUAUGAUAUGGCCAUCAUCAUCUUGUGCCUUUGAUCUCCAUCUCCAAAGCACCAUCAUGAUCACCAUCGUCACCGGCGCGACACCUUGAUCUCCAUCGUAGUAUCGUUGUCGUCUCGCCAACUAUUGCUUCUACAACUAUUGCUACCGCUUAGUGAUAAAGUAAAGCAAUUACAUGGCGAUUGCAUUUCAUACAAUAAAGCGACAACCAUAUGGCUCCUGCCAGUUGCCGAUAACUCUGUUACAAAACAUGAUCAUCUCAUACAAUAAAAUUUAACAUCAUGUCUUGACCAUAUCACAUCACAACAUGCCCUGCAAAACAAGUUAGACGUCCUCUAUUUUGUUGUUGCAAGUUUUACGUGGCUGCUACGGGCUGAGCAAGAACCGUUCUUACCUACGCAUCAAAACCACAAUGAUAUUUCGUCAAGUAUGUGCUAUUUAACCUUCAACAAGGACCAGGCGUAGCCACACUCGAUUCAACUAAAGUUGGAGAAACUGACACCCGCGAGCCACCUAUGUGCGAAGCGCGUCGGUAGAACCAGUCUCGCGUAAGCGUACGUGUAAUGUCGCUCUGGGCCGCUUCAUCCAACAAUACUGCUGAAUCAAAGUAUGACAUGCUAGUAAGCAGUAUGACUAGUAUCGCCCACAACUCACUUGUGUUCUACUCGUACAUAUAACAUCUACGCAUAAACCUGGCUCGGAUGCCACUGUUGGGGAAUGUAGUAAUUUCAAAAAAAUUCCUACUCACACGCAAGAUCAUGGUGAUGCAUAGCAACGAGAGGGGAGAGUGUUUUCCACGUACCCUCGUAGACCGUAAGCGGAAGCGUUAUGAAAACACGGUUGAUGUAGUCGUACGUCUUCACGAUCGACCGAUCCUAGUACCGAACGUACGGCACCUCCGCGAUCUGCACACGUUCGGCUCGGUGACGUCCCACGAACUCAUGAUCCAGUAGAGUGUCGAGGGAGAGCUUCGUCAGCACGAUGGCAUGAUGACGGUGAUGAUAAAGCUACCAGCGCAGGGCUUCACCUAAGCACUACGACGAUAUGGCCGAGGUGGAUUAUGGUGGAGGGGGCACCGCACACGGCUAGAAACAAUCAACUCGUGUGUUCUAGGGUACCCCCUGCCCCCGUAUAUAAAGGAGCAAGGGGGAAGGCCGGCCGGCCUUGGGGCGCGCCAAGGAGAGGGGGGAGUCCUCCUCCUAGUAGGAGUAGGACUCCCCUUUCCUAGUCCAACUAGGAAGGAGGAAGGGGAACGGAAGGAGAGGGAGAGAGGGAGGAAAGAAGGGGCGCCACCCCCCCUUCUUGUCCAAUUCAGACUCCCAAGGGGGGGGCGCGGCGCGGCCAGCCCUAGGCCCUCUCCUCUCUCUCCCAUAAGUCCCAUGAUGGCCCAUUAGUUCCCCCGGGGGUUCCGAUAACCCCCCGGCACUCUGAUAAUUAUCCGGUGACCCCCGGAACACUUCUGGUGUUCAAAUAUAGUCGUCCAAUAUAUCAAUCUUCACGUCUCAACCAUUUCGAGACUCCUCGUCAUGUCCGUGAUCACAUACGUGACUCCGAACUAUCUUCAGUACAUCAAACACACAUAAACUCAUAAUACCGGUUGUCAUCGAACAUUAAGCGUGCGGACCCUACGGGUUCGAGAACUAUGUAGACAUGACGGAGACGCGUCUCCGGUCAAUAACCAAUAGUGGAACCUGGAUGCUCAUAUUGGUUCCUACAUAUUCUACGAAGGUCUUUAUCAGUCAAACCGCAUAACAACAUACCUUGUUCCCUUUAUCAUCGGUAUGUUACUUGCCCGAGAUUCGAUCGUCUUAUCUCAAUACCUAGUUCAAUCUCGUUACCGGCAAGUCUCUUUACUCGUUCCGUAAUGCAUCAUCCCGCAACUAACUCAUAGUCACAUUGCUUGCAAGGCUUAUAGUGAUGUGCAUUAUCGAGAGGGCCCAAAGAUACCUCUCCGACAAUCGGAGUGACAAAUCCUAAUCUCGAUCUAUGCCAACUCAACAAGUACUAUCAGAGACACCUGUAGAGCACCUUUAUAAUAACCCAGUUACGUUGUGACGUUUGGUAGCACACAAAGUGUUCCUCCGGUAUCCGGGAGUUGCAUAAUCUCAUAGUCAUAGGAACAUGUAUAAGUCAUGAAGAAAGCAAUAGCAAUAUACUAAAUGAUCAAGUACUAAGCUAACGGAAUGGGUCAAGUCAGUCACAUCAUUCUCUAAUGAUGCGAUACCGUUAAUCAAAUGACAACUCAUGUCUAUGGCUAGGAAACAUAACCAUCUUUGAUUCAACGAGCUAGUCAAGUAGAGGCAUACUAGUGACACUCUGUUUGUCUAUGUAUCCACACCUGUACUAAGUUUCCGGUUAAUACAAUUCUAGCAUGAAUAAUAAAACAUUUAUCAUGAAAUAAGGAAAUAAAUAAUAACUUUGUUAUUGCCUCUAGGGCAUAUUUCCUUCAACUAUCUCUCCAACGAAUCGAUGAUUUUUGCAUGAUUCGUGCUAUAUUGCUAUCAACUUUAAACAAUUUUGAAAUGAAUUUUAUGAAUUUAUUGCACUAACAUAUUAAUUCAAUGCCCAGUGCUAGCUCAUAUGUUUUGCUAUUGUGUUUCAAAAAUACUCAAAAAAAGUCCCUGAAAAAAAUCCAAAAAAUGUGAUUCAGAAGUUUCGAGAACAGGAGGACACCUAGAGACUGGGGCCCACACCAGAGGCUACCCCAGUGCCUAGGUGCAUAUGGCCUGUGGGGGGCUGGCUGGCCUUCGGUGCCCCAUGGUCCAUAUAUACCCCCAUUUGCACACCCUAAUGGUCGAGAAAUUUUCCAUCACCGCCACAUUGCGUUUUUGAGGUGAUCUUCAUUUUCAACCGUGAUCUGGACCUCUAUCGGAGGGGGGAAUUCAUCUCCAUCUUCAUCAAACUCGAUCAUCGUGCUCCAAGAUGAGUUGCGAGUAGUACAUCCCCGGAUAUCAGUAGCCAAUGUUGUAAUCUCUCCUCCUAGAUGUAUUUUCCAUGUUUAAUACAAUAACUACAUAAGCUACCCUACAUGAUUGUAGUUUACCAAAUGAGUUUAUGGUGGUGAUGUAGAUUAUGAGUAAUGGAUUAAUUAUAUAUGUUCAAAAAAUUUCAUGAUUCAUAUUUGAUAUAUGGAUGCAUAUUUCCUUCUGGAUGCAUGUAUUCUCUUGGCCAACUUAGAUUGCUAGCAUUGUGGAAGUGGUGCACAUUAGUUUGGUUCAAGAGUUACAAGUAAUCUACAAUAGUGACAAAAAAAUGAAAAAGUCUUGCAAGAAUUGUUGCCACUGAGGGUUGAGGAUUAGUAGAGGAUGAAUAAUUCCCUAAUCAUAACAGUAUGUCAUCAUUCUAAAUACAAUUACCCAUGUUUACACUUAAUGUCUAGAUGUUGCAAAGUAUCUCCAUAUGGGAUAUUUACCUAAAGAUGGAGAUUGAUUCGAUCUUUAGUAUUAUGGACGUACCUCAGUGGCAGUCUCCCCUUUGUCGUUUCCCUCGCUCCUGGCACUGCAGAUGGAGCCACUCAAUAUUCCAUGGAUUUGGUUUUCCGUGCUGGAAGAGUUACACCCCCUGUAGGUGAAGUUGUGGAGGGAGCGAGCGAUGGAGAUGAAGCCAUUCAAUACACCACCAAUAUAGUCAGUCACAACGGAGGAUACAGAUGGUUUGUAGUUGAAGCUGUGGAGGAAACGGACGAGACGGAUCUGCAAUGACGUGUUCACCUAGAUGGAGUUGAUGCAGGAGCUGCAUGAGACACGUGCACUCGCCCGCGAUAAACCGAAAUCUAAGAGACCGGCUGCAGAGGGAGAUCAGUGAUGACCCACAAGUAUAAGAGAUCACAACAAUCUUCAAGGAUAGUAUUUCACCCAAAUUUAUUGAUUCGGCACAAGGGGAGCCAAAGAAUAUUUAUAAGCCUUAGCAGUUGAGUUGUCAUAAUUCUAUGUUUCAUGCUAUGGUUAGAUUUUUCUUAAUUUUCCUUCCGUAGUUGAGGAUGCUCGCGAGAGGGGGUAAUCAUAAGUGGGUUGCUUGUUCAAGUAAGAACAACACCCAAGCACUGAUCCACCCACAUAUCAAUUAUCAAAGUAGCGAGCGUGAAUCAACUAAACAUGAUGAACGUGACUAGAUGACAAUUCCCAUGUGUCCUCAAGAACGUUUUCUUUAUAUAAGAAAACAUUCCCGCUUGUCCUUUGAUAUAAAAAGGAUUGGACCACCUUGCUGCACCUUCGUUAACAUUGUUACUUGUUACUUGUUACGAAUUGUCUUGCUACAAAACUAUCUAUCACUGCUUCUUUUAGUACUUGCGAAAAUACCUUGCUGAAAAUCACUUAUCAUUUCCUUCUGCUCCUCGAAAGGACUACAGUUGAUCCCCUAUACUUGUGGGUCAUCAGUAUGGCACACCGCCGCCACUCGAUCAACUAUUUUUACCCCCGUCGAAUCUGAUCAUGGAUCAGACGCUCACAGACACCAGAAACUCAUCCAGAAGACAGAAUCCUAGCCUCUGGAGUUCAUCUAGAGGAGGCAUUAGCAAGGAGAAGGAGUGGAUCCUUCCCACCGCGAGGAAGAGGACAACAUCAUCACCACUAUCCUCGUCAUCCACUUUAUCAUCAUCAUCAUCCACAUCCUUAUGACCUGCAACAUCAAGAACCCUAGUGGAUCCUUCGGUGUAUCAUUUUAACCACUCAUCCAUGUAUUCCAUUACCAUUGCUAGAUGUUUGUUGUCCUCAUGUGUGAGUAGACCACAAGUUCUCGGGGAUAUGGAUGAACCUUGGUAUAUGUAGGAUAUGAAACGUUAUUGUGGAUAUGAGAUCCCUUGCUGAAUGCUUAGUUUAAUACCUUCAUGAAUGUUGUGAAGGGGCCCCACUUAGCAUUUGUGUCUUGUGGCUGUAAUAUCCCAAAUUUUCUAAAUUUGUAAUGUUAAAAGAAUCAUAUGCAUAUCAUAUAUUUUCUUUGCAUUUUGAGCUUUAUUUGACUUGAUUCAAAACUUUGUGAAACUCAAUGAUUCUUUGAGAGAAGAAAACAUGACUUCUCCGAUGUGUAAAAAGAGAGAGCUGGGAGUUUAUUUGAAUCAAAUUUGAAAGUUGGAUCAAAGUUGGAAUUUAAAUUCUUUUCUCCAUCUACUCAAAUAUAAUCAAGAGAGAAGAUAAAAGGACUUCUUCAAAAUAAGCGAGUUGGAGAAAGAUUUUAAAUACUAACGGUAAUUUUGUUAAUUUUGUUGUAUAGAUUGGAAAGUAAAGAUUGCAAAAUAAACGGCGACAGAAAUAGCUAGUUGAUGGGAGAUUAAUAUGAUGGAAAAUAGACCCGGGGGCCAUAGGUUUCACUAGUGGCUUCUCUCAAGAUAGCAAAUUCUACGGUGGGUGAACAAAUUACUUCAAGCAAUUGAUAGAAAAGCGCAUAGUUAUGAGAAUAUCUAGGCAUGAUCAUGUAUAUAGGCAUCACGUCCGUGACAAGUAGACCGAAACAAUUCUGCAUCUACUACUAUUACUCCACACAUCGACCGCUAUCCAGCAUGCAUCUAGAGUAUUAAGUUCAUAAGAACAGAGUAACGCAUUAGGUAAGAUGACAUGCUGUAGAGCGAUAAACUCAAGCAAUAUGGUAUAAAACCCAUCUUUUUAUCCUCGAUGGCAACAAUACAAUACGUGCCUUGCUUCCCCUGUUGUCACUGGGAAAGGACACCACAAGAUUGAACCCAAAGCUAAGCACUUCUCCCAUUGCAAGAAAGAUCAAUCUAGUAGGCCAAACCAAACUGAUAAUUCGAAGAGACUUGCAAAGAUAUUAAAUCAUGCAUAUAAGAAUUCAAAGAAGAAUCAAAUAUUGUUGAUAGAUAAUCUUGAUCAUAAACCCACAAUUCAUCAGAUCUCGACAAACACACCGCAAAAAGAAUUACAUCAAAUAGAUCUCCAAGAAGAUCGAGGAGAACUUUGUAUUGAGAUCCAAAGAGAGAGAAGAAGCCAUCUAGCUAAUAACUAUGGACCCGAAGGUCUGUGGUAAACUACUCACACAUCAUCGGAGAGGCUAUAUAUGGUGUUGAUGUAGAAGCCCUCCGUGAUUGAUUCCCCCUCUGCGGAGCGCCGGAAAAGGCUCCAAGAUGGGAUCUCAUGGGUACAGAAGGUUGUGGUGGUGGAAAUAGGGUUUCUGGUGCUCUCGGAUGUUUUCAGGGUAUAUGAGUAUAUAUAGGCAAAAGAAGUAGGUUGGUGGAGCCACGAGGGGCCCAUGAGGGUGGGGGGCGCGCCUACCCCCUGGGCGUGCCUCCCUACCUCGUGGCCUCCUCGUUGCUUCCUUGACGUCCACUCCAAGUCUCCUGGAUUGCGUUUGUUCCAAAAAUGAUCCUCGCGAAGGUUUCAUUCCGUUUGGAUUCCGUUUGAUAUUCCUUUUCUCCGAAACACUGAAAUAGGCAAAAAAACAGCAAUUUGCACUGGGCCUUAAGUUAAUAGGUUAGUCCCAAAAAUAAUAUAAAAGUGCAUAAUAAAGCCCAUUAAACAUCCAAAACAGAUAAUAUAAUAGCAUGGAACAAUAAAAAAUUAUAGAUACGUUGGAGACGUAUCACCCCGGUAUCGUAUCAUCCCACUAUCCUUUUGCUUUUACUUAUCUUAGUUCGAUCUUUUGCUUAGAUAAAUAAAGUUUAGUUCGAUCCUUUCUUCUUUGAGAGUUUGCUUAGUGAUCUAUCAUUGUAAUCGUGUGCAAGUUAUAUAAUAAAGUUAGUUUGUGUUUUCACUUUCUUUACUUUUAUGUUGCAAAUAAAGCAAAGAAAUAAAAAUAGAAAAAGAGAAAGAAAGCAAAUAAGAGAAGGAAAUAAGUCAACAAGAUCAUAUACUAAUCCUAUGGUAGGUGAUAGCACCACAUAAGGAAAAGUAUAAGUAAGAAAAUUUUAUUAGAGUUUGACAAACAAAGCUUUAGUCAGUGAUGCAACUCAAGAAAGAAUUAAUAAGGGAAGGGAAGAUUCACAUAUAAAUAUACUAUCCUAGAAAUCUUUUGUGAUUGUGAGCCCUCAUCGAAAUAUUAUAUGCCAAAAUUGUUGACGUUGGACAAGGAAGACAACAUAAUGGUUUAUAUAUGUUUAUAUUCACAAAGAAGUCAUAUUGUCAUAGAUCCUUUAACAUGUGAUGCUUGCCCCCUAUCUUUGCUUGCCAAAAUUCUACACUAAGUAGAGAUACUACUUGUGCAUCCAAAACCUUUAAACCCAAAUCUUUUUCAAGUGUCCACCAUACCUACCUAGGGAUUGAGCAAGAUCCCUCAAGUAAGUUGUCAUCGGUGCAAAAAGGCAAUAAAAUUGCUUCUAAAUGUGUGAGAUUGUUUAGUGCAAGAGAAAAUUGAGCGUUGCACGAACUUGGAUGACAGAGAAUAAAAGCGACAGACUACAUAAUAAAGAUUGUCAUCUUAAGGGGCAAUGUAACGUGACGUUCUUUUGCAUUAAGGGAUUGAGCAUACAAACAAAUAAACGCAUGGCAACCUCUGCUUCCCUCUACGAAGGGCCUAUCUUUUACUUUUAUGUAUUUACUUUUAUGCAAAGAGUUAAAGUUUUCCUUCUAUUCCUUUUAUUUUUCUCUUUUGGCAAGCAUCUUGUGGUGAGGAAAGAUCUAGGCACAUAUGUCCAGUUGAAUAUAGAUAGCAUGAGUUAUUAUUGUUGACAUCACCCUUGAGGUGAGUAUGUUGGGAGGCGAAACUAUAAGCCCCUAUCUUUCUAUGUGUCCGGUUGAAACGUUUUUCUCAUGUGUAUGCGGUGAGUGUUAGCAAUCAUAGAAGACUAUAUGAUAGUUGAGUAUGUGGACUUGCCUAAAGGCUCUGACACGUGACCCUUCCUGAAAAGAUGAUGAAUUUUAGUUGCAAGGUUGACUGAGGACAUAGUUUAUUGGUUUCUAAUGGAGUUUUUGCUUUAUACUUCGAUUAUGUGAUGAACUGUUACUUAUUCAUGGGAAGUGUAUGAUAAAAGUUCUAUGAUGAAAGGUUUAUGUUUAAAUUUGUUGAUGUUAUAAUAAUCGGCAUGAUGCUUCUAUGUUUGUAUUUUGUUUUUUUCGACACCUCUCUCUCAAAGCAUGUGGACCCACUUUUCGAUUUCGGUUUUCGCUUGAGGACAAGCGAGGUCCAAGCUUGGGGGAGUUGAUACGUCCAUUUUGCAUCAUGUUUUCUUACUGUUAUUUACAAUGUUUUUAUCCAAAAUAAUACUUUUUGGAGUAAUUCUAAAGCCUUUUCUCUCUUAAUUUGCAAGGUGCACACCAAGAGGGAGAAUUCCGACAGCUGGAAAUCUGGACCUGAAAAAGCUACGUUAGGCCACCUAUUCUGCACAACUCCAAACAAGCUAAAACUUUACGGAGAAUUUUUUUGGAUUAUUUAAGAAAUAUUGGAGCCAGUAACUACUAGAGGGGGGCCACCAGGUGGGCACAACCCACCUGGGCGCGCCAGGCCCCCCAGGUAUGCCCUGGUGGGUUGUGGCCUCCUCGGCCCACCUCUGGAGCCCAUCUUCUGGUAUAUAAGUCAUUUUUACCUAGAAAAACUAAGGAGAGGACUUUUGGGGCGGAGUGCUGCUGUCUCGAGGCGGAACUUGGGCAGGAGCACUUUUGCCCUCCGGCGGAGCGAUGCUGCCGGGGGAACUUCCCUCCUGGAGGGGGAAAUCAUCGUCAUCAUCAUCACCAAUAACUCUCCCACCUUGGGGAGGGCAAUCUCCAUCAACAUCUUCACCAGCACCAUCUCACCUCAAACCCUAGUUCAUCUCUUGUAUUCAAUCUUGUUACCGGAACUAUAGAUUGGUGCUAGGGGGUGACUAGUAGUGUUGAUUACAUCUUGUAGUUGAGUACUAUAUGGUUUAUUUGGUGGGAGAUUAUAUGUUCAGAUCCAUGAUGCUAUUUAAUACUCCUCUGAUCAUGAACAUGUUUACUAUUUGUGAGUAGUUACUUUUGUUCUUGAGGUCACGGGAGAAAUCAUGUCGCAAGUAAUCAUGUGAACUUGAUAUGUGUUCGAUAUUUUGAUAGUAUGUAUGUUGUGAUUCCCUUAGUGGUGUCAUGUGAACGUCGACUACAUGACACUUCACCAUAUUUGGGCCUAAGGGAAUGGACUGUGGAGUAGUAAAUAUAUGGUGGGUUGCGAGAGUGACAGAAACUUAAACCCCAGUUUAUGCGCUAUUCCGUGGGACCGAUUGGAUCCUAGAGUUUAAUGCUAUAGUUAGAAUUUAUUCUUAAUACUUUUCUCGUAGUUGCAGAUGCUUGCGGGAGGGUUAAUUAUAAGUAGGAGGUUUUUUCAAGUAAGAACAUCACCUAAGCACCGGUCCACCCACAUAUCAAAUUAUCAAAGUAGCGAACACGAAUUAAACCAGCAUGAUGAAAGUGACUAGAUGAAAUUCCCAUGUACCCUCAAGAACACUUUGCUUAUUAUAAGAGACCAUUUUGGCCUGUACUUUGUCUCAAAAGGAUUGGGCUACCUUCCUGCAUACUUAUUGUUACUAUCGUUACUUGCUCGUUACGAAUUAUUUUGCUAUCAAACUACUCGUUACUUAUAGUUUCAGCACUUGCAGACAUUACCUUACUGAAAACUACUUGUCAUUUCCUUCUGCUCCUCGUUGGGUUCGACACUCUUAUUUAUCGAAAAGAGCUACAAUUGAUCCCCCGUACUUGUGGGUUAUCAAGGCUAUUUUCUGGCGCCGUUGCCGGGGAGUGAAGCACCUUUGGUAAGUGGAAUUCGGUAAGGAAACAUUUAUAUAGUGUGCUGAAAUUUAUUGUCACUUGCUACUAUGGAAAACAAUCCUUUGAGGGGUUUGUUCGGGGUAUCUUCACCUCGUUCGGAACCACAAUUAAUUGCCCCUCAACCUACUACACCUACUAAAAAUAUCUAAUAUGAAAUUCCUUCGGGUAUGAUAGAACAACUGCUAGCUAAUCCUUAUGCAGGAGAUGGAACCGAACAUCCUGAUAUGCACUUGAUAUAUGUAGAACAAAUUUGUGGAUUGUUCAAGCUUGCAGGUCUACCCGGAGAUGAGGUGAUGAAAAAGGUUUUCCCUUUAUCUUUGAAGGGAAAAGCAUUAGCAUGGUAUAGGCUAUGCGAUGAUAUUGGAUCAUGGAAUUGGAAUCAUUUAAAAUUGGAGUUCCACCAAAAAAAUUAUCCUACGCAUCUAGUUCAUCGUGAUCGGAAUUAUAUAUAUAACUUUUGGCCUCGUGAAGGAGAAAGUAUCGCUCUAGCUUGGGGGAGGCUUAAGUCAAUGUUAUAUUCAUGCCCCAACCAUGAGCUCUCAAGAGAAAUUAUUAUUCAGAACUUUUAUGCUCGGCUUUCUCGUAAUGAUCAAACCAUGCGAGAGACUUCUUGUGCUGGUUCUUUUUUGAAGAAAACAAUUGAAUUCCGGUGGGAUCUUUUGGAAAGAAUUAAACGCAACUCUGAAGAUUGGGAACUCGAUGAAGGUAAAGAGUCAGGUAUAAAGCUUAAGUAUGAUUGUGUUAAAUCUUUUAUGGAUAUCGAUGUUUUUCAAAAGUUUAGCACUAAAUAUGGACUUGACUAUGAGAUAGUAGCCUCCUUUUGUGAAUCAUUUGCUACUCAUGUUGAACUCCCUAAAGAGAAGUGGUUUAAAUAUCACCCACCUAUUAAAAAUGAAAUUAAAGAACCGGUACCAGUUAAAGAAGAAACUAUACUUUAUAAUGUUGAUCCAGUUGUUCCUACUGCUUAUAUUGAGAAACCACCUUUUCCUGUCAGGAUAAAGGAACAUGCUAAAGUUUCAACUGUGGUUAACAAAAGAUAUGUUAGAACACCUAAACCAGAUGAACAAAUUAGAGUUGAACCUAAUGUUGCUAUGGUUAAAGAUCUCUUAGAAGAAGAUGUGGAUGGGCAUGUUAUUUACUUCUGUGCAGAAGCUGCUAGAAUUGCUAAACCCGAUGAAAGGGAUAAACAUAGACCAGUUGUUGGCAUGCCUGUCAUUUCAGUUAAAAUAGGAGAUCACUGUUAUCAUGGUUUAUGUGACAUUGGUGCUAGUGUGAGUGUUGUUCCUUACACUUUAUAUCAAGAAAUUAAGAAAGACAUAGCACCUGUAGAGAUAGAAGACAUAGAUGUCACUAUUAAACUUGCUAAUAGAGACACCAUAUCACCUUGUGGGAUUGUUAGAGAUGUUGAAGUCUUGUGUGGGAAAAUAAAAUACCCUACUGAUUUUCUUGUUCUUGGUUCAUGUUCAAAUGAAUUAGGGGUUUAUUUCUUAGGCAUGUGCUAGUAGUUAGUGGAUUCGACGGGAUUAGAUAGGAUUCUAGUAAAUCCGAUUGGAUGCGAUCCCAAUCGAAUUCAAUCAGACCGAUCUGUUCUUGUUUCGUACAGUGUGUGUCCUAGGAUAAUUUUCUUCUGCUACUGUUAGUGUGUCCUAGGAUCUGUGUUCAUGCUAGUAGCUGUGUUCAUGCUAGAAUCCCCAAUGGUAGUGUGCUUUGCUAGGAUCUGUGUUCAUGGUAGGGUCUUGCUAGGAUGUGUGUUCAUGCAAAUGGCAUGUUCAUGUUCAAGCUAGGAUCAUGUUCAUGUUGUUGUUCAUGUUGCUACAUACAUGUUCAAGCUAGGGGUUGUGUUGAUUGUUAUACGUUCAUGUAGUAGGACCAUUUUAGGAUGCUGCCAAAUGUGCAUGGGUGCACAUGGGUGCUAUUGACACUUGCUGUUGCUAUUUUUAGACGUUUCCAUGCUUAGGAUAGUGCACUGAUGAAUGGCAGUUGUAGAAAAGCAGAUGCCACUGAUCAGUGGCAUUUGCUCAUGGGCAACUACCAUUAAUCAGUGACACUUGCUGUUGGUAAAGUCCACUGAUCAGUGGCAUUUUCCCAAUAGCAAGUUCCAUUGAUCAGUGGCAUUUGAUCAUAGAGUUUGUGCACUAAUCAGUGGCAUUUGCUCUUAGGCAAAUAUCUCUGAUCAAUGCCAUUUUGCAAAGAGUUUGUGCACUAAUACUUGUCAUCUUACCUGACAAGAUAAUGAAGACUGACUGGGAUGUGGCGGAUGGAGGAGCUCAGGUGGUGGCCGGAGCUAAGGGCGCCGAGGAUUUCAUCCCCAUGAAUAGGUGGCUCAGGACGGUGGACCUGCCUAGCAGGAUCGCCUUCAUGAGGCUGCCUCGUUCAAGGGGACGAUCUCUGAGGCAGGGCCAUGAGGAGGGGGCCCGGGAGCCGCUGCGCUUCUACCAGCAGAUCAAGGACAAUGAGGACCUCGCCAUGCUCGUCGUCCCUCGCCAUGCUCGUCGUCCGUUGCAAGUUCGUGGAGGUGAUGAACACCUGGCUGGUCAUCAAGCGGCUAGCUCCCGCGCGUGGUCAGGCUAUCGGCGAACAAGCGGUGCGUGUUCUGGGUACAGGUCCAGAAAUUCAAGGGGCACAUGGUGCUUGGACGAGGCUGGAACUACUUCUGCCGCCGCCACCGGAUCGUCCCCGACGACCUCGUCAUUAAGCGCAUCUCAGGACUCGGACUGAAGGUUCAGAUCUACAACCACAACUCCUCGGUCAUGUGUAGGUUUCGUUGCAGCAGUCACAACUGCGUUGGUGACAUCGAGCAUGCUAUGUAGUUAAGUUAAGUAAGGGUUAGUGUUGAACUUUUAUGGUGUGUGGCGGGACUUGUGCUGGGAACUUGUUCAUAUUUUGGCCAGGAGCAGCACCCUGGCAUGGAGCAGGGAAGGAGGAUGCCCCUGCUGUUAAUCUAGACUUAUGCUAUGUAGUUAAGUAGUUUGUUGUCAUUUCCUUGCUUGUUGUGUUUGAUUUCAUUUGGUUGUUUGCUUUGUUUGAUCUUGCUGUUGUGCUGAUCAUGUGGUGGUAAGGCCACCACAUUUGAACGGGGUGAGCAGAACACAAGCGCUGUUUGCAACCAAAUAGAUUAAGUUUGCAUCUGCUCACACCCUAAGCACAAAAACGGCAACCAAACAGCAGGGGGGUAAGUGCCCCUCCAUGCGAGGCAACCAAACAGGUUGCAUCUGCUGCAUAUGAGGCUGCAUUUCAAGAACCAGGCUGGCUGGAGAUGGACAUGCAAUACAACUACUGUUGCAAACUGCAACCAAACACGCCGAGAGUUGCCAAAAAUGACAACUUACUUUUUUUUGGUUGAUUCCAACUAUUUGCAUGUAAAGGCUAUUGAAUUAUACCAUUAAUCCGAAUAUGAUUAGCUAAAUGUAUUUAUUUAUCUUUUUCGAGAUGAAAAGGUUACUUGUUCCUCAUAUCUUCGUACCAGAAUGUUUGUCAUUCACCCCUACCCAUUGGCGCCCUCCUCUCGUGCUCCCUUUUCUUAGGGGUAAAACCAUUCUAAUUUUUGUCCCUAUUUUUCAAAAGGCAUCGGGAAUUGUUGAUGCAACGACAUGCUGAAUACAAUCCGAUGGAAUAUGAAACAAACCUUACAGAGUUGAUUGCUUCCAUUUGCUGAUCUCCUCGGUCCUCACCCAUUUGAUCUUGUGGUCAUCACAAGAUUUGAGCAUGCCCUGGAUUUCUUCAACAACCGGCCCAUCUGCACAGAGGAUUUUUGCUAUCGUUUUUUUUUGCGAGAAAACUUCCGAUCUAUUCAUCAACUGUCAAGGUAGUACAAGGAACAUCAUAAGUAAAAAUUACAUCCAGAUCCGUAGGCCACCUAGUGAUGACUACAAGCACUAGGCGAGCCGAAGGCAUGCCAAUCAUGCUUACCAUGCUUCUACAGAUAUGGUGUCAUGCAAAGUACUCCCUACUAGUUUCAAAAAAUGUCUUACAUUAUGGAACGGAGAUGAUACAUUAGAGGUGAGCCCAUGCUCGACAUGGAGGGCCUUUGGCCCUUGAGAGGGAGGGCUAGCUUUGCAUAAAGGGUGCAUGAUUCAAAUACAAUGACCCGAAGGGAAACCGAGACAACUUUUUGGUCCUGGUGCCUGUUGGUUUUCACUUUUUAUCAUGAUUCUAGAGAAGAUGGAUUCAACUACUCGGACUUAUGGCAUUUAUUUAACGUAAAAAAACUAGACAUGACCUUUUCCAAUCCAAAGAGGCCAGGCGCAUUAAGGCAGACGUUGAUUUCAUCGAUCCGUGUCCUUGUUGGCGGUGUCCGGAUCCGGAUCUGGGAGUCGGAGCUCAUCGCGCAUGUCCUAGUUUUACCAUGGGACACGGGUGAGUUGCCGAGCGAGAGCUCCGCGCUUUGGCACCAUUGACGGCAACGCCUGCGGGCACCACUAUCUUCAGGAGUGCCUUUGCACCUGGUACCAGCUCAAAAAAGGAAAAACUAUGUUUUUGUUACUCUAGUUUUUGCCCACUUUAUUUAUACCACUCUAGUUUUUGCCUACUAUGUUUAUACCAUUCUAGAAUUUGACAUCUCAUUUUUACACUCUUGGCUUUUGACAAUGUAUCACAAAUGCUAUUUGUGGCAAAAGCAAAAAAAAAACAUUUCACUUGCGACACUCUCAGCUUUUGACAAUGCACAAUUGCCAAGAGUGACAAAAGUGAAAUGUGAACAAUCUAAAGUGGCAUAAACAAAGUGGGCAGAAAGUAGAGUGACAAAAACAACCCUCCCAUGCAUUUACCGUAUCUUGCCGUCCCAUGCAGAUAUGCAUUUGUCUUGUUUGAGUUUCUUAUUAUUAUACUAAAUAAAAAGGCCGCACAUUGAUUGCUUUUGUCUCUCAGCUACAUAGAUCACGUGUGUAGGAGUGUAUCCCUGUCCCACAUGGAUGGAUAAUUUUAUUCGAGCUCACGUUGCAUCUCACCCUCCCUAUCCACACAGAGUCAGCCAGCGUGCACCUCGGGCUUCUUCCCAAAUCAUACUGUAAUAAGCUGAGGGUGUCUUUUUUGCAUGGUAUAAAGCUGAGGGUGUUGUUGUGUCUCAGUUGUUCAUUACGGAGUAAGUAUCUUUUAGGAACAGCGUUUAUACGAAAAAUCCUGCAGAGAGUGGUCCCGAAAGCGAGGCAGGCGCUAGGGUUUCCCCCGCUCCCCUCCCGCCGCCGUCGGCCGUCGGCCCCGCCCCCCGCCUCCGCCCCCCCUUCCGCCCUCCCCCUCCUCCGUCUAGGCCGCCUCGCGCCGCCUCCCCGGGAGGUGGCCGGGGCGGAGCUCGCGCCCCUCGCCCGCAGNNNNNNNNNNNNNNNNNNNNNNNNNNNNNNNNNNNNNNNNNNNNNNNNNNNNNNNNNNNNNNNNNNNNNNNNNNNNNNNNNNNNNNNNNNNNNNNNNNNNNNNNNNNNNNNNNNNNNNNNNNNNNNNNNNNNNNNNNNNNNNNNNNNNNNNNNNNNNNNNNNNNNNNNNNNNNNNNNNNNNNNNNNNNNNNNNNNNNNNNNNNNNNNNNNNNNNNNNNNNNNNNNNNNNNNNNNNNNNNNNNNNNNNNNNNNNNNNNNNNNNNNNNNNNNNNNNNNNNNNNNNNNNNNNNNNNNNNNNNNNNNNNNNNNNNNNNNNNNNNNNNNNNNNNNNNNNNNNNNNNNNNNNNNNNNNNNNNNNNNNNNNNNNNNNNNNNNNNNNNNNNNNNNNNNNNNNNNNNNNNNNNNNNNNNNNNNNNNNNNNNNNNNNNNNNNNNNNNNNNNNNNNNNNNNNNNNNNNNNNNNNNNNNNNNNNNNNNNNNNNNNNNNNNNNNNNNNNNNNNNNNNNNNNNNNNNNNNNNNNNNNNNGGCCGGCGGCAGGCGUGGUGACGGCGCCGCUCCUUGGCGGCGGGGCGGCGUGGUGGUGCUGGGUGGCCAUCGACGCACCCCCGGCAUGGUCUCGUUGUGUGUGGCGCGGUGAGGAGGUGGAGCGGCUCGGACUUGGGGCGUCGGUGCUGACGGCGUGCCGGCAGCAGCGCGAAGGCGGGAGCUUUACGGGCCCACGAGGGCUCGGCCGGGCCUGUGGGCCUACGGGCCUGGUGUGCUCCUGCUAUUGCGUCCGGACGGCUACUGUCGCGGACGGUGGAGGUGGGGCCCUCCCGCGUGCCGAUGGUGCUGAUGCCCUAGUCCCGGCUCUGAUUCUUCGCCGUGCUGUCCUCACUUCGCGGUGCCGUGGUGAGACGGCGUGGAGGCCUCAUGACCGCGUUGGUGCAGGGUGGUGGUUGGUUUGGUGGCGGGAUCCGGAGCGCCCGAGGUGCGGGUUGGGAUCGGGGAAAACCCCUGUCGGCGUGGCCGACUCCGGCGCGGUGGCGCCUAUGGGUGCCACCUGACCUUCCGGGAGGGCGUCGGGGGCUACCCUUCCUCUCGCCUCGUCGUGUAUCGGGGGAAACCCUUGGCAGCAGCGUCGUCAUCGUCGUGAUCCUUCUUGGAGGUGUUGAUUGGUGCCGGCGCUUCGGAGUCUUGGAGCCUAGUGGAUGAGCCCGGUGGGCCCAGCGAUCGCGAGGCUUCUUCGUUUUUGUUGAUCCGCCGUUGUCGGCAUUUGUUUCUUUUGCUCUUUCCCUGUUGUUUCUUUUGGGCGUGAUUGUGCUGCUUUUGCCCCAGCAUCUAUCCCUGUAUGAUUCGGUUGGUUGCUUUGUAUACAAAGCGGGGGGAAACCCUUUUUCGGCAAAAAUCCUGCAGAAAUCAAUAUUUCUCUUUUUUUAUGAGUCGAUGCAGAAAACAAUUUGUUUUUUCUUUGAGGUUUUGCAGAAAUCAAUCAUGUGAACCAAACUGGGCCUCAGCAGAGCAUUGCAGCAGCUCCGGCCCGCCAUCGUACUGGCCCAUACAAUUCCGAAAAGCCCAACAAGCAACAAGCCCAUAUAACCCCUUGUAUCACACUCAAAACUAAGCUUUCGCUUCUCUCUCUCUCAAAAAAAAAACUAAGCUUUCGCCGAAAAAAACGAGGGAAGAAGAUCAAUGCAUCAAUGAAAAACAGGGGGCAGUAAAUAGCACAUGUUAAUUAUUACUCUAAUUAUUCAACAACACUUGGUCGGAAACCACACGGAGUUGCUACACACCACAGGGAAGAAGAAAAUCGGCCGAUCGAGAUACACAAAUCGUAGGGACGCACAGCAGUGGAGCAAGCAAAGUACUGUAGCAUCCACACCACACCACACCACACACUAGUAUAGUAAAGCUAUGGCGAGCCGAGCGGCUAUGCAGGCUAGGCGUCGAGCACGGUGGG
Molecule: long non-coding RNA, 51749 nt
Filed under: Triticum aestivum (bread wheat)
Lineage: Eukaryota; Viridiplantae; Streptophyta; Magnoliopsida; Poales; Poaceae
Description: long non-coding RNA (TAES_LNC015690)
Source: RNAcentral